This 81361-nucleotide long non-coding RNA is filed under the name Volvox carteri. RNAcentral describes it as "long non-coding RNA (VCAR_LNC000108)". The record is from RNAcentral. Lineage: Eukaryota; Viridiplantae; Chlorophyta; Chlorophyceae; Chlamydomonadales; Volvocaceae.
AGCCAGUGGGUCCGUCAAGAGCGCGUCCAGGCCAGCGUCGUCGUCAGGGUCCACAGGCUUCGUUUGGGUCUUUGCAAUUGCUCCCAAACCCAGUUGGCUGCGAAAAAUAGACGCAACCGACAAAUCCUCCUCCUCUUCCAAGGGCAAGCCUUCAUCUUCAGCGGCAUGUAGGCAGUAGUCCUGGCUCGAGAGACCUUCCUCAGGCGGUGGAGCUUCAAGACCGUCCUGCAAGAUCGUCCGACAGCCUGCUUCAGUCCGCGACCGCUGGCUUCGCUCGUGCAACGGUCGCACCGCACCUCUAGAGCCCCUUCUAGGCCAGUCUCGGCUGCUGAGAGGUCGCCGAAGAAGGAGUACUGGGCGGCGUCAAACGCCAGCGGAGCCUACAAUCAAAAGGUUGCUUUAAGCUUCAAAACACCAGAUCAAACUUUUGAAUGCAAACAGGCAUACCUCAGACUCAAUCUCCACUGCCACGAAGCGGUCCGGCAGCCCCAGCAGGCUUGCCGCUUCUACAAAAGAAAGCAGCGGAAUCUAUUACAGAGGGUGAAGAAGCAAGCACUCACAGAAACAACAUCAAAACUGACUUCUUUGCGUUGUCAUCGUCAGGCUGCACGCAUCUUCCUUCGCCAAAGACACGCGCGUUUAACAUGUAAACCGCCUUAUGCUAGAUUAGCAAUUGCAACUAGUAAAAAUUGAUUAUGGAGUAAUUGAGUACAGUUGUAUUGUCGGCACCCGCAACGGAUCUACGGGUUUCGUGCAAAAAGGUGCACGACAUGGCGGCCAUUUGCAAUUGGCAAAGGUUACACAAAUCAUGGAAGCUGCAACCGCGUAACUUCAACCUCCCUUGUUAGUCUAGCUUUCUUUGCCUGUGCGCGCCUGGCUGACAGCCCUUUGACUGUACACUGCACAGAAGAACUUUGUUGCAUGCCGGUAGUCCGAUGUAUAAGUCCGUACCAACUCCUCUUCUAGAUCACCAAUAUCAUGAUUACAUCAGCGUAGCGGUUGAUGCAGCGCUAGCGGCUGGUGAAAUCAUCAGGCACGCUUUUAAGCAACCCAAAAAAGUUGAAGAAAAGCAAAACCAUGCAGACCUGGUGACGGCAACGGAUAAAGCUGCAGAGGUACAUGGCGCGGUUGCGCGAUGAUGAUGAUGCGCGACUGUGGCCCCCAGAAGGGGAGUUGGCGGUGGUUGCUGCGACGCCUCAAAAUCCAUCUCGUCCACUGUUUCCCAAAGCCUCUCCGUCCCACCCGCUUUAGUAAUUUUUCCUCUUUGCUUAAUAAAGUUAUCCCGGGCUUGCAAUCAUGAGGUUUCAUUUACACCUCUUUUUUUAUUUUAGCUAAGCUUUUGCUCCCUGCACGAAACCGAGAGCCCACCCGUCUACCCACCUGCCCUCUUCCUCCGCUCUCACUUCCACAUGGCCCCCCUUUUCCCGCCGCCCUUCUCUCCGACCUGCACAGCCCCAUUCAAAUCUCUCCUCAGGCGAGUCAACCAUGUUCCUUCACCCCAACACGCACGCUCCCCUUUCCCGCCAUGCUUACAUCAUAUUCUUCCACACGCAUACACAUACGCAUACGCAUACACACCACACCACACGCCUGGCCCCCCUCCACCGCUCUCCUUCAGGACCUCAUCUUCAACCGCAUCCGGCGCUCCUUCCCCGACCACCACUUCAUCGGCGAGGAGUCCUCAGCCGCAGCUACCGGGGGGGUUUCGGAGCAGCUGGGCGACUCCCCCACCUGGAUGGUGGACCCGCUGGACGGUGAGAGGGAAGGACUGAGGGCUGAGCAGCGCCAGCAGGGCAGGCCGGGAAAGAGGUCUGCCCUCCAAAAAGGAGUAGGCUACUCCUCCUUGAAGAAACAGGGAACGGUGAAUUGGCGUGCAAUACGACAUAGACAUAGCUGUGAGGGUCAGGCAACAUUAUGUUAUGGGGUCCAGUGCACGCGGACUCGAGGGAAAUGGCGCGAGGGAGGGAGGGCGGAAGGGAGGGCGGGAGGGCGGGAGGGGUCACAGGGUAGGCGCUUAUGGCGGUUGGGGUUUGGAGGUUAUUUUAGGGUUUUGGAGGUGUAAGGAACGGAUUUUGGGGGGGGGAGAGAGGGAAGAAAAAGGGUUGGUGGUGGAGGCAGUGGUCCUCGGGGGGGCACGUCAUUAAUUGUUGCAUAGGUUGAUCUGUCGUACAUACAUACAUAUUCAGUACGAACGCGGUACACGUGCUGCUGUUGCUGCUCCUUGUCCAUGCGUGUCUGUGCGUGUGUGUCUUUGUGCGUAUGUGUUUGCGUGCAGGUACGACAAAUUUCGUACAUGGUUUUCCUUUCGUGUGCACCAGGUGGGUGUUUGCGUGUGUUGCGAUGCGAGGGAGGUGGGGGGUGGGCGGGGCAGGAGGAGGUGAGGGUUAGGAGCUUCCCCCCCUCCCCCCCCUCCCCCCCUCCCCCCCUCUCUCUAUCUCUUGUCUCUAUCUCUUCCCCCCUCCCCCCGCAUUGCCCUUCCAUUGCCAUCCUGGUUGGUCGGCUCUUCGACAACCCGCCGUCCGUGGGGUCCCCGUUGUGUAUUGGGGGGAGGGGGCCCCCGGGGUGCAGUAAAACCCACCGCUCGUCCAUCGCUCAUCGCGAGAGUCAUGAGCAGCUUCAGCAACAGCAGCACAGCAGCAAUAGCUUCAGUCCUCUCCCCCCCUUCCUUUUUCCCCUGUGCCCUCCCCUCCCUCCCCCCCUUGGCACCCAUCACCUUCACUCGCUCGUGGUUCGUGGUCUUUUCCCCUCCACCCCUCACACGCCCCAAUCCCCUCCCAGUCCCAGUCCCACCUCCCUCACCUCCCUCGCACUCAACAAAACACACUUGCACGCGCAUGCACCCGUGCGCGCUCCUCUUUUUAAAACAGCAUCGGCCUGGCCGUUGGCCGUGUGGUAGUUGUGGGGGUUGUGUACAACCCCGUUCUGGAGGAGCUGUUUGUGGCGGCUGAAGGCGGGGGGGCCUACUUGAACGGUGAGCGGCUGGCGGCCUCUGGGCGGACUCAGCUAGCUGGGGCCGUGGUGGGAACGGAGGUAAGUGGGGGCGCGCGUGUGUGUAUGUGGUGGUGGUGUGUGUGUGGGGGGGUAAGAGUGUGGUGGUGUGUAUAGGAUGGGGGAUGAAGCUUCGGGUAGAUUGGAAACACUGCUUAUAGGUAGAUGCAAAGUCAAGGAAGUAACUCCGGACAUGUGCGGCAUGGGGGGGAAAGGGGGAAAGGUGGGGGGGUGUUGAGGGGGUGGGAGUAAGGCGUGUAAAACCCUAUAAGUACCCCGUUGAAGUUUGCUGCAAUGCCUAUACCUCCUACUCCCCGCCCACUUACCCAUGUCUCCGUUCCUCGACCCGCCCCACCUAAAAUAAAGCCACAUACAUACAUACAUGCAUACAUACAUACAUACAUACAUACAUGCAUACAUACAUACAUACAUACAUACAUACAUACAUACAUACAUACAUACGCACACGUGAAAACACGUCAGGGUCCCCCUGCUAUGGCCGGCAGAUGGGCAGUGAAUUCUGUUGGCUUUCUGGCACCAUAUGAUUACCCGCAUACACACCGCCGUACACCGCCGUACAGGUCGGCACCUCCCGCGACAGUGAAACCCUGGACGCCAUGUUUGGCCGCAUGCGCGCCCUCGCCGCCCUCUCCCGCUCCGUUCGCUGCACGGGCUCGUGCGCUCUGGGGCUGUGUUCCGUGGCGUUGGGGCGAUGUGAUGUGUUUUUCGAAAUCAAUUUCGGGGGGUGCUGGGAUGCGGCGGCGGGGGCGUUGAUGGUUUCGGAGGCUGGUGGCACGGUUUUGGACCCCGCGGGGGCCCCCUGGCACGUUAUGUCACGGCGGGUGUUGGCGGCGGGGAGUGGGGAGCUGGGUCGGGCUGUGGCGGCUGUGCUGGGGGGUUGUAAGUUGGGGAGCGGAGAGGCGGCACCUCCUGGAUUGGGCAUGGGGCCGUCCUUGCGGGGGCGGGGGAGGGGGGAGGAGGAAGGAAGAGGAGAAAAGGUGUGAAUGAGUGCGUAUGUGUUUGUGUAUUUGUGUGUAUGUGUGUAUGUAUGUACGUAUCAAGGAAGAAGUGAAGGGGGUUUAUUUAAGGCAAUGUGCAUUUGGCGAGAGCGGGAGUGUAUGUAUGUGAGGGGAUUGGGGGUGCGUGGAUUGGGUCGUACAUUUCUUCUUUCUCCGUGUGACUGUUUUUCAAAUGCUUUAUAAUUAUGUCUCGGUAGCAGGGUUCGACACUGACCUUCCUGAAACUUGCGGGCUCCCCCGUACCUCCCAAAUUUUCCUUACGGAGGGGCCCCCGUACCAGGCUCCUGUACCGGCCGAAAACCUUACGGCGGCCCCCCGUAACCCCCACAAAACCUUUACGGGGGCGCUGUCCUUGGCUGAAACGCUGUGGAAAGUGACGCUUUGCAUUUUUUGCCCUGUAAAUCGUUAUUUUCGUUAUUUUCUCGUGAACCAUUACACUCGGGGACACGGCACACUCGGUGAAAGCCAAGCGCCUUGGCCGCCCAUCCCUUCUGCUCCUCAACAUGAUCUUCACCCGUUACGUCCGUACUGUUAUCUGACAUAAUACUAAAGAAUGGGCUUUCACGGAUUCGAACAAGCUGGGCGGCAAGGAUGACUUCGCUCAGAGCGCGCAUAGCUGUGACGAGAUAGCGGUACUGGUUGUACUUGAAGUGGAUGCCCGGAAGCCCAGCCGCCGUUAGCAUGAGAAGCAUGCUCGGCAGCUUAAGCAUGGGAAUAUGUACCGUACGGCCUCUUAUAAAUCCUUAAAAUCCUUACGGGGGCCCCCGUAACCGGCCUUCGGCCGGUCCGGGGGCGGCCCUGUACGGGGGCGCUUCACGCCCCAAAAUCCUUACGGGGGCCACUGUAAAGUCCUACGGGCCCUGACGGGGAUACCGAAAAAAGGCCAAAAACUUACGGGCCCCGUACGGGGUGUCGAACCCUGCUCGGUAGACUGUUAUUAUUUUGUGUUUCUGUCUUUCUCUCGGCGCGUGUGCGUGUGUGUGUGUGUGUUUUAAGAGGGGGGAAAGGAGAUAGGGAAAGCGCCAAAAGAGGAGAAGAGCACAGGGAAACGAGUUCUUGCUUGGCUGUAUAGCUAAUGAACGCGUGUGGAGGGCUUCCUUCAAUUAGAGAAUCAGGAAUUUGUUCCCUUCCUCAAUAAACUGUCGGUGUGUGUGUAUGUCUGAGGAUGUUACUGUCGGUGUGUGUGUAUGUCUGAGGAUGUUACUGUCGGUGUGUGUGUAUGUCUGAGGAUGUUACUGUCGGUGUGUGUGUAUGUCUGAGGAUGUUAACAGGUGGCGACUUUUCAGACGCGUCAGACAGAACGGCUUUGAAGCUUUGAAGCUUUUUUCUUGAGAAGAUUCUGCCUGAUGCGUCUGGAAAAUCGCAGGAGGGGAGGGGAGGGGAGGAAGAGGUGACGGAGCUGUACAUAUACAUUUUGCGCCGGGGAAGCCCCACAGCGGUUUUUUGAUGCCAGCUCGCGGCGGCGGUAUCCGACGGACACACCGCUCGUCGUACAGCGUCGUGAUAACCGUACAACACCGCCACGAGACAACCAUGGUACAACACCGCAACAACAAUUCAAAACCAACAGUUUUGAAACACAGUUCCCAAUUUGCUAAAAAAAACUCAAUUUUUGCAGACAUCAGUGCUUUUAAACGUAAUAAGAAGUUUACUUCCUUCAACCAUCAUAAACAACAACGUUAAAAGAGACUUAUUAUUCAAUCCAGAUCUUAUUGAAUCCAGAUCCCGAAAGCGCCGUACGUCCACCCGUCAUUCCCAUCAACCUGAAUACACACACCCUCUUCUCCCCCCACCCCAAACCUUACACACACAGCAAAUACACACACUCAUAUGGCACACAGUCAUAUGGCUUUUUUAAUUCCCAGACGUGAAUACACUGGGGAAUGACCAUGGCCUGUAGCGGUACGAUUAGUCGUACUCCAAGAACGGAGAAUCACCCAUGCUCGGUACUACGACGCGAGAUGCGUGCGUGUGUGUAUUUAUUAAUCUACCUCCUCAACCACAGGCCGGCCGCCACCCGCGGCGCCCCCACCCCCACCACCUGCACCCCCGCUACUGCCACCGGCGCCGUACACCUUGGACAGGAUGGUGCCCAGUGCCUGACAGUGCCGUACCGCGGGGUGAUUUUCAGGGGGCGAGAGUCCAUGGAGCGGGGGGGGGUAGAGUGGUUUGGGUAUGUUAGGUAAGUACGACAACGUGUCAAAAGUAGGUACGAUAGCGAUUAUACUUUACUGUCUUUACUGUACUUCACAUUUUGAAUUGGCAUUGGCAAAAUGCGAAAGACAACCCAGCAGUUCUCGUCUCCGCGCGAGCCAGCAAUUACUUAGGGCCUAUUUUGCCCAUCUGCAGAUACACAAACAGACACACAAACAGACACACAAACAGACACACAAACAGACACACAAACAGACACACAAACAGACACACAAACAGACACACAAACAGACACACAAACAGACACACAAACAGACACACAAACAGACACACAAACAGACACACAAACAGACACACAAACAGACACACAAACAGACACACAAACAGACACACACGGCGACAAGCUUCCUAAAAGCCCACCUCCUCCUCCUCCCGCCCAGCGAAGAAGACCCGCCUACCACCUCCCCCCUUCCCGCACACCCCUCCAACCCCCUCACCUCCUCCACCUCUCGCUGCUUGUGCUCCAUCUCCUCCACCUCCGCCAACUGAUUACGUUCCAGCCACCCUAGGGCCUCGUCCAGCGUCGUGUCCAACGUGUGCUUCUCCUCCGGCGUGAGGCGGUCGCCAGCACCGGGCUCGCGUAGCUUAUUACGGAUGCCGUACAGGAACCCCUCCAGCUUGUUGCGUGCCUCCACCUUUCCAGGGGGAAGGGAAGUCGGGGGCGAGGGGGGUAAUUUUAAGGGUAAUGUGUGUGUGUGUGACGUGUGUGUGUGACGUGUGUAUGUGUGUGGCUUAUAGCUGUGAAGGGAGGUGUGAUGGAAGGUGAACGGUGGCGAAGAAACUACAUCCUAUCUUCUCCCAACCUCUAUCUUUGCUGUUUUUUAAAUAUUAAUUUGGAAUGAACAUUGGCUUUGUUGUCCCCGGUCACAACACACCCUUAGUAGUUGUAUACAUCUGCCGUACCAACCGCUUUUUUUGGCCUGGCGAGAGGAGUGCGUGUGGUACGGCGUUGUGUGUGUACUCGCAUUGCCCCCGGUCCUUCCGUACCUUUUUGCGGGCUUGAUCAUCCUCUCGGGCGUACUUCUCCGCGUCCUCCACCAUCUUUUUGAUUUCGCCCGCGGAGAGGCGGCCCUUGUCGUUUGUGAUGGUGAUGCGAUUGGACGAGCCUACGGGCCGGGGGGGGGGGGGGGGGAAAGGGGGGUGAGGGGGGGGGUAUGUGCAGGAGGAGCGUGUGGAUAGCCGCGAGGGCGGGAAAGUUAUUGUGCAAUUGUUGUGUUAUUAAAGUGAUGGGUGUGAAUGUGGGGGUACGUGCCGUGCCGUGCCGUACCGUAGCAACCCGUGGCAACCUGUGGCUCCGGAGCCCGUAGUGAGUGACACACGGCCCCUCCUCCUCGCACGCUCUUCCCGCCCUUUUUCGCGUUCUCACACCCCCUUAAAACCCUAAAACCCGCCACUACAAUAACUACGUACCGGUGGCCUGCUCCUCCGCGGACACGUGCAAAAUCCCGUUGGCGUCAAUAUCGAACGACACCUGUUUGUGUGUAUGUAUGUAUUUGUGUGCGAGAGGGGGAGAGGGCGUGGCGAGUGCAAAUAGGUGGGGUGGGGGUGGGGGUGGGGAUGGGGGUGGGGGUGGGGGUGGGUUACAUGAUGUGGCAAAGUGCACAUAAAACCCCACAGGCUGCAUUGAGAUAAGGCCCCCCGGGGGGGAGGGGGAGAGGAGGAAAGGCUGGGGAACGGCGCUCGAAAGCUUUGACUAGUCUGACCUCGGAUUACGUUUAGUAGCGCCGGCUGCCGCUUUACCGCGCCGCUAUACACACAUAUAGUACAUAACUUGAAAGGUACCUUGUGGAAAAAGAACAUUUAUCAUUUCUACAUAUAGAAGACGAUUAGGAAGGAAGGACAGGAUGUUAGCUGCAGCCACCUUGCCGUACCUCUCUUUUUCCUCCCCCCCCUCCCCGAAAAACCCGUUACCUUAAUCUUAGGCACCCCACGAGGCGCCGGAGGUAUACCGCUGAGCUCAAACUUGCCCAGCAAAUUGUUGUCGCGUGUACGAGCACGUUCGCCCUCGUACACCUGUUGGGGCGUCGUACACAUCAGGGGAUACGGACGAGACACAACAUAGGUCCCGAACACCGUCUCACUGCGUAUAUGCGGCUGCUGCUGUACUGCUUUUUUCGUUCCCGUACAAACCCGAGUGUGCGAGUGUGUGUGUUUUCCUUACACUCUCUCCUCUAGGAGAGAAGGCCCAAUCUUACUGCUAACAUUAACACCAGCUUCAGACCUAAAGUACCUCUUAAAAAAUCUCCUUUUAUAUUCUCUCCCAAAUACUAAACGCCUCCCUCCUUUCCCUUCCCUUCCUCCCCCCUCCCCUCUCCCCCCUCCCCCCUCCCCCCCUUCCCCCCUUAACCCUCCCUCCCCCCUCCCCCCCUUAACCCUCCCUCCCCCCUCCCCUCUCCCCCCUUUAAAUCCCCUCUCCCCCCCCUUAAACCCCCCUCUCCCUCCCCCCUUAACCCCCCUCCCCCCCUUAACCCCCCUCUCCCUCCCUCCCUAAACCCCCCUCUCCUCCCCCCGCUCCCCCCAAAGGACCUGAAUCAGCACUCCCGGCUGGUUGUCGGAAUAGGUGGAGAAGACCUCCUCCCGGUGUGCCGGGAUGGUGGUGUUGCGGGUGAUCAGGACGGACUGGGGAGGGAGUUGGGGGGGAGAGAGUUCGAGAGUGGAGGAGAGAGGGGCGUGUAAGUGCAUCUCCUUCCUGGUCUAUCACAAGACAAAAUGCAUAAAUAACAAAUCAAACAAUUAAUACAAUGAAGCACUAAAAAAUAGCGCCCCCCGCUAGGAUUAACCACAAUAAUUAUGUGUAUAUACAUAUUUAUUUAUACACAUAUAUACAGACAUAUAUAUUAUAAUAUUAUAAAUAUUAAGGGGGGGCGCCCUCUAUUGCUUCCUUUCUGAAGCGGUGUUAUGCUGUGGGUGCCUCGCCCGUUGUGUUUGUUGUUUGAUUCGUUAUAUAUAUUAUAUAAUUUUAUAUUUUACUGUGGUUAAUUUACAUACUUAUGAUGUACUUUUAUUUUUUUUGUAUUACAUAAAAAUGAUGUAUAUGCUAAUGACCCCUCCCUCUCACCAUAAUGCCCCCCGCCGUCUCAAUGCCCAAACUCAAAGGAGUUACGUCCAGCAGAAGCAGAUCUUGAAUCUUGCUACCACCCGUGCCAGUUAAAAUGGCGGCCUGUACGGCAGCGCCGUACGCUACAGCUUCGUCGGGGUUGAUAGACUUGCACAGCUCCCUGCCGUGGAAGAAGUCCUGUAGUAGCUGCUGUACCUUGGGAAUGCGAGUGGAGCCCCCCACUAACACGAUAUCGUGGAUGGCGGACUUGUCCAGCUGCGCGUCCUUCAGCACCUGUGUGUGUGCGUGUGUGUGUGCGUGUGUGUUUUGCAUGCACGGGGGGGUGUUACGACGAACCACUGGCGAAUGAAGCAGAUACCAGAAAUAGACGGAUAGUCCAGGAGAAUUUAUGUAUGUAUGUAUGUGUGUGGGGGGUGGGUUGGCGCGUGUAUGUGUGUGGGGUGUAUGCGUGGGUGUGUUUUUUGAGGUGUACGGGAGAAAGGGGCAGAAAAGGCAUUUGAGUCCGUAAGAACGGCAUGCCGUUUUACCUUCUCCACGGGCUCCACGCACUUCGUGAAGAGGUCCAUGCAGAGUUCCUCGAAUCGCGCUCGGGUAAUGGAGGCGUAGAAGUCAAUACCCUCGUACAGACUGACAUACGUACAUAAAUACAUACACAUACACGCACACACACGAGGGGGAGCCGUGCGAGGGGGAGGGAAGUUGGAAUGGGGGCCCGAGGAGGGAAGAAAUGUACGACAAAAGAUAUCGCUGAAGUGGUGUCAGGAAAUCCCUUUCGUAUUUCAAGACCAAGCCCAAUCAUGCGCCCACCCCCCCAAAAACACACACAAUCAACCUCCCCCGGCCCUCCCUACCCCCGAACCCCUCCGACCCCCCCCCAAUACCCCCAAACCCACCUGUCGAGCUCCACGGUGGUUUGUGUGGCGGAGGACAGCACUCGCUUUGCCCUCUCACAUGCCGUACGGAGGCGGCGUAAGGCCCGGGGGCUGGUGCUAAGGUCCUUGCCGUGGUUCUUGCGUUUAAAUUCCUGUCGGGGGGAUGUGCACAAGGGUGUGCUUGUGUGUUUUGUGUGUUUCAUGGAGUUCGCCAUGAGGGGGGGGGGGCGGGGCGGGACAUCAAGAAAGGGUCUGUUGGGUCUAGUUGACCGGGUAGUUAGGAAGCGGUUGGAUGGGGCAUUCAAACACGUGUCGUCUUGUAUGUAUGUCCGUGGUUGUUGAUAUUUAAUAACAGAUUUUAUGUCUGUUGAAGAGAGGUUGGUUGUCUGAGAGCUUUUAAAAAAAAUAGCUGUAACAGAGAUGUAAAAAAGAGACAGCUCUAGUAUAUUAGUUUUAGCAAUGGGUUAAGGAGUAACGGAAGGGGGAUCGCGUGCGGAAACUCGAAAGCAAAUGCCGCACCUGGACGAAAUGCGCGACCAUGCGGUUGUCAAAGUCCUCCCCGCCCAGGUGCGUGUCGCCGCUGGUGGCCUUCACCUCGAAUAUGCCCUCGUCAAUGGCGAGCAGCGACACCUGCAGCGCCCCGACGAACUUCGUUUUGUUUGUUCUGCAGGGCUCGGCGCGUUGAUGAUGGUGAUGGUGAUGGUGAUGGUGAUGGUGAUGGUGNNNNNNNNNNNNNNNNNNNNNNNNNNNNNNNNNNNNNNNNNNNNNNNNNNNNNNNNNNNNNNNNNNNNNNNNNNNNNNNNNNNNNNNNNNNNNNNNNNNNNNNNNNNNNNNNNNNNNNNNNNNNNNNNNNNNNNNNNNNNNNNNNNNNNNNNNNNNNNNNNNNNNNNNNNNNNNNNNNNNNNNNNNNNNNNNNNNNNNNNNNNNNNNNNNNNNNNNNNNNNNNNNNNNNNNNNNNNNNNNNNNNNNNNNNNNNNNNNNNNNNNNNNNNNNNNNNNNNNNNNNNNNNNNNNNNNNNNNNNNNNNNNNNNNNNNNNNNNNNNNNNNNNNNNNNNNNNNNNNNNNNNNNNNNNNNNNNNNNNNNNNNNNNNNNNNNNNNNNNNNNNNNNNNNNNNNNNNNNNNNNNNNNNNNNNNNNNNNNNNNNNNNNNNNNNNNNNNNNNNNNNNNNNNNNNNNNNNNNNNNNNNNNNNNNNNNNNNNNNNNNNNNNNNNNNNNNNNNNNNNNNNNNNNNNNNNNNNNNNNNNNNNNNNNNNNNNNNNNNNNNNNNNNNNNNNNNNNNNNNNNNNNNNNNNNNNNNNNNNNNNNNNNNNNNNNNNNNNNNNNNNNNNNNNNNNNNNNNNNNNNNNNNNNNNNNNNNNNNNNNNNNNNNNNNNNNNNNNNNNNNNNNNNNNNNNNNNNNNNNNNNNNNNNNNNNNNNNNNNNNNNNNNNNNNNNNNNNNNNNNNNNNNNNNNNNNNNNNNNNNNNNNNNNNNNNNNNNNNNNNNNNNNNNNNNNNNNNNNNNNNNNNNNNNNNNNNNNNNNNNNNNNNNNNNNNNNNNNNNNNNNNNNNNNNNNNNNNNNNNNNNNNNNNNNNNNNNNNNNNNNNNNNNNNNNNNNNNNNNNNNNNNNNNNNNNNNNNNNNNNNNNNNNNNNNNNNNNNNNNNNNNNNNNNNNNNNNNNNNNNNNNNNNNNNNNNNNNNNNNNNNNNNNNNNNNNNNNNNNNNNNNNNNNNNNNNNNNNNNNNNNNNNNNNNNNNNNNNNNNNNNNNNNNNNNNNNNNNNNNNNNNNNNNNNNNNNNNNNNNNNNNNNNNNNNNNNNNNNNNNNNNNNNNNNNNNNNNNNNNNNNNNNNNNNNNNNNNNNNNNNNNNNNNNNNNNNNNNNNNNNNNNNNNNNNNNNNNNNNNNNNNNNNNNNNNNNNNNNNNNNNNNNNNNNNNNNNNNNNNNNNNNNNNNNNNNNNNNNNNNNNNNNNNNNNNNNNNNNNNNNNNNNNNNNNNNNNNNNNNNNNNNNNNNNNNNNNNNNNNNNNNNNNNNNNNNNNNNNNNNNNNNNNNNNNNNNNNNNNNNNNNNNNNNNNNNNNNNNNNNNNNNNNNNNNNNNNNNNNNNNNNNNNNNNNNNNNNNNNNNNNNNNNNNNNNNNNNNNNNNNNNNNNNNNNNNNNNNNNNNNNNNNNNNNNNNNNNNNNNNNNNNNNNNNNNNNNNNNNNNNNNNNNNNNNNNNNNNNNNNNNNNNNNNNNNNNNNNNNNNNNNNNNNNNNNNNNNNNNNNNNNNNNNNNNNNNNNNNNNNNNNNNNNNNNNNNNNNNNNNNNNNNNNNNNNNNNNNNNNNNNNNNNNNNNNNNNNNNNNNNNNNNNNNNNNNNNNNNNNNNNNNNNNNNNNNNNNNNNNNNNNNNNNNNNNNNNNNNNNNNNNNNNNNNNNNNNNNNNNNNNNNNNNNNNNNNNNNNNNNNNNNNNNNNNNNNNNNNNNNNNNNNNNNNNNNNNNNNNNNNNNNNNNNNNNNNNNNNNNNNNNNNNNNNNNNNNNNNNNNNNNNNNNNNNNNNNNNNNNNNNNNNNNNNNNNNNNNNNNNNNNNNNNNNNNNNNNNNNNNNNNNNNNNNNNNNNNNNNNNNNNNNNNNNNNNNNNNNNNNNNNNNNNNNNNNNNNNNNNNNNNNNNNNNNNNNNNNNNNNNNNNNNNNNNNNNNNNNNNNNNNNNNNNNNNNNNNNNNNNNNNNNNNNNNNNNNNNNNNNNNNNNNNNNNNNNNNNNNNNNNNNNNNNNNNNNNNNNNNNNNNNNNNNNNNNNNNNNNNNNNNNNNNNNNNNNNNNNNNNNNNNNNNNNNNNNNNNNNNNNNNNNNNNNNNNNNNNNNNNNNNNNNNNNNNNNNNNNNNNNNNNNNNNNNNNNNNNNNNNNNNNNNNNNNNNNNNNNNNNNNNNNNNNNNNNNNNNNNNNNNNNNNNNNNNNNNNNNNNNNNNNNNNNNNNNNNNNNNNNNNNNNNNNNNNNNNNNNNNNNNNNNNNNNNNNNNNNNNNNNNNNNNNNNNNNNNNNNNNNNNNNNNNNNNNNNNNNNNNNNNNNNNNNNNNNNNNNNNNNNNNNNNNNNNNNNNNNNNNNNNNNNNNNNNNNNNNNNNNNNNNNNNNNNNNNNNNNNNNNNNNNNNNNNNNNNNNNNNNNNNNNNNNNNNNNNNNNNNNNNNNNNNNNNNNNNNNNNNNNNNNNNNNNNNNNNNNNNNNNNNNNNNNNNNNNNNNNNNNNNNNNNNNNNNNNNNNNNNNNNNNNNNNNNNNNNNNNNNNNNNNNNNNNNNNNNNNNNNNNNNNNNNNNNNNNNNNNNNNNNNNNNNNNNNNNNNNNNNNNNNNNNNNNNNNNNNNNNNNNNNNNNNNNNNNNNNNNNNNNNNNNNNNNNNNNNNNNNNNNNNNNNNNNNNNNNNNNNNNNNNNNNNNNNNNNNNNNNNNNNNNNNNNNNNNNNNNNNNNNNNNNNNNNNNNNNNNNNNNNNNNNNNNNNNNNNNNNNNNNNNNNNNNNNNNNNNNNNNNNNNNNNNNNNNNNNNNNNNNNNNNNNNNNNNNNNNNNNNNNNNNNNNNNNNNNNNNNNNNNNNNNNNNNNNNNNNNNNNNNNNNNNNNNNNNNNNNNNNNNNNNNNNNNNNNNNNNNNNNNNNNNNNNNNNNNNNNNNNNNNNNNNNNNNNNNNNNNNNNNNNNNNNNNNNNNNNNNNNNNNNNNNNNNNNNNNNNNNNNNNNNNNNNNNNNNNNNNNNNNNNNNNNNNNNNNNNNNNNNNNNNNNNNNNNNNNNNNNNNNNNNNNNNNNNNNNNNNNNNNNNNNNNNNNNNNNNNNNNNNNNNNNNNNNNNNNNNNNNNNNNNNNNNNNNNNNNNNNNNNNNNNNNNNNNNNNNNNNNNNNNNNNNNNNNNNNNNNNNNNNNNNNNNNNNNNNNNNNNNNNNNNNNNNNNNNNNNNNNNNNNNNNNNNNNNNNNNNNNNNNNNNNNNNNNNNNNNNNNNNNNNNNNNNNNNNNNNNNNNNNNNNNNNNNNNNNNNNNNNNNNNNNNNNNNNNNNNNNNNNNNNNNNNNNNNNNNNNNNNNNNNNNNNNNNNNNNNNNNNNNNNNNNNNNNNNNNNNNNNNNNNNNNNNNNNNNNNNNNNNNNNNNNNNNNNNNNNNNNNNNNNNNNNNNNNNNNNNNNNNNNNNNNNNNNNNNNNNNNNNNNNNNNNNNNNNNNNNNNNNNNNNNNNNNNNNNNNNNNNNNNNNNNNNNNNNNNNNNNNNNNNNNNNNNNNNNNNNNNNNNNNNNNNNNNNNGACCUCGAGCCCCGAGAUGGUGCCCGCGUCCUUCGUGGCUUGGCGCUGGGAGUCAUUGAAGUACGCCGGUACGGUAAUAACGGCCUGCCGUACACGGCUGUUGGGCCCCAAAUAGGCCUGGCUUGGGUUGGAGAGCGGAAGGGGGUGCGGGUGCGGGUGCGGGUGCGGGUGGGAGCAUGAACUGCUCGUUAGAAGACGGAAGGUAUCCAAAUUAUUACUUCUGUUUUUUUUUCAAACAUGGCAAGUGUGCAAGUGGUGGGCGUGAGACGCACUGUAACUGAAAAUUGAACUGAAACUGAAACUGAAACUGAAACUGUCGCCGCGGGUUGAAUGAGAGGCUUGGGGGGCAUAAUCUGCUCACGGAGGGGCGGACGUACAUUUGAGGGUACGUCGGUAUGUAUGUUUAUCUGUGUGUAUGCGUAUGUGUGUAUGUGUAUGCGCGUGUGUUUUGGAUCUUGACGUUUCGAGUCUUGGGGGAGUUCCCUCCCCAGGUAAAGCUCCGUACGUGGCGUACGCCGUGUUGACACGGACGUUUACGUUUAUCUACCAUCGCUCCCUGUCCCCAACCCCCCUUCCAGCGGGUGGUGGGUAGCGGGCGGGGGAUGGCCUCCAGUACUGGUGCUCUACGGCAGCUGCAUGCGGGAGGUGCGGCAGCAGCAGCAGCAGCAGCAGCAGCAGCAGUAGCCACAGGUGAGAGGAAUAUGACGACACUGCCGAAGGAGAUGCUACCACUCCACUCCCCAUCCACCGGGGCUCCUGCUGCUGCUGCCGCCGCCUCAGCCGCCGCCAGAGUCUGUGUUUAUCCAACAACCCCAAACCCCGUGUUUAUCCCUUCCCCCCAACCCCCCACCCCNNNNNNNNNNNNNNNNNNNNNNNNNNNNNNNNNNNNNNNNNNNNNNNNNNUCCCCUGGAUGAGCGGCUGUACGACAAAAGUACGACACCAGAUACACGGUAUUUGGCAGGGCGGUACGGCAGGCCAAAAAAUCAUUCUGAGGGGGGUCUUCUGUUGUGAAGCAUUGCGACAGUCAGUUUGUAUGUCAUCCAUACUUGUAUACACAUGUACGUGUGCAUGUAUGUGUGCAUGUAUGUGCGCAUGUAUGUGUGCAUGUAUGUAUGCAGGCAGGCAGGUAUGCUAACCCCCAAAACCCCUAAAGUAUGCCUGCAUACAUGCACGUCCCACUGCUUCUAGCUGUACGCCGUGCGAACCCUUUUCUCCCCUCGUACUGCUCCCCCCUACCACCCCGCUCGUGUCCAUUCGCACCCUCGUCGCAUCCCCGCGGGGCUUCCUCCCCUCGUACUGCUCCCCACCCACCCACCACCCCUUCCCCCCCGCACCUUAUCCCCCGGUCCCUGAAUGACUUUAAACGGCCAGUGUUUCAUGUCCUCCUGGACCACCGGGUCAUUGAACUUACGACCGAUGAGCCGCUUGGCGUCUAUAGUUGAUUUGCGAGGGGGGGGGGAGAAGGGGGGGAAGGGGGAGGGGGAGAAGGGAAGCCGUUAGGGGGAGGACGGCCGUUAGGGGGAGGACGGCCGUUAGGGGGAGGACGGCCGUUAGGGGGAGGACGGCCGUUAGGGGGAGGACGGCCGUUAGGGGGAGGACGGCCGUUAGGGGGAGGACGGCCGUUAGGGGGAGGACGGCCGUUAGGGGGAGGACGGCCGUUAGGGGGAGGACGGCCGUUAGGGGGAGGACGGCCGUUAGGGGGAGGACGGCCGUUAGGGGGAGGACGGCCGUUAGGGGGAGGACGGCCGUUAGGGGGAGGACGGCCGUUAGGGGGAGGACGGCCGUUAGGGGGAGGACGGCCGUUAGGGGGAGGACGGCCGUUAGGGGGAGGACGGCCGUUAGGGGGAGGACGGCCGUUAGGGGGAGGACGGCCGUUAGGGGGAGGACGGCCGUUAGGGGGAGGACGGCCGUUAGGGGGAGGACGGCCGUGGGGAAGCAGGGAUAAGAGGGAUAAGAGGGAUGGGGGGUAGGUGGUGGGGGGUGGGAUUCUACACCCGUGGAGAAGGGCAGAGGGGCCUGGUCAAGGAAGGAAGGAAGGAAGAAAGAAAGGAAGGAAGCCAUCAGGUAGACCGACCCACCGACCCACCGAAGACGGUGUUGUGCGGGUUCAUCGCCACCUGGUUCUUGGCAGCAUCGCCGAUGAGCCGCUCCGUGUUGGUGAAGGCCACAUAGGAGGGUGUGGUGCGAUUGCCUUGGGAGUUGGCCACGAUUUCCACGCGGUCAUUCUGCCACACGCCCACACAGCUGCGAAGGUAAUAACGUUUAAGAGGCAGUUUAACCGAUCUAAAAUAGAAUUUCAGUGAUAAGGAAAAUCUCUUUGUUGGUGAUACAAAGUAGAAAAAUCAGGCGGGAAUAACUCAACGACGACAUGAAAAAUAGCGGCUUUGGUAUUGUGAUGGAGAUUAUGUAGACGCAAUGCAGCCGUUGUAGCAGUGGUGGCGCCGGGGAGGCUCAGACGCAGCUCAUCAAAUUAUUGGGCAGGCAGCAGUGGGAGAAAUCGUGGAAGGAGUGAGGUAAAAGAGUGUGGAGGUGGGGAGUUUGGAGAGGAGAGCGAGUCAGAGCUCCUAGCGGCAGGGUACGGAUGAUGCGGAGAAGGGAAGAGGGAAGGAAGGACUUCUUUAUUACCUUGGAAUACCUUUCCAUUAAUUAUUAUGAUUUUAUGAUGCGAGGGUGAUGCGAUACAGCGCGAUGAGGGCAUAGCAUGACAAGUUUGGAAAAAUGAUAACACGAACGAGGAUAAGAGAUAAGCGCAGGUGAGGAGAAGCAUUAACCAAAGACGUUAUUAACUCCUGACAGGCUUGACUUGACUUGAAUUGCGUGAGGAAUACUUUAUUUUUCUUACGUGCGUUAUGUCUGUGAAAACGCACAUCGGGGCUUCUUUUUUUCCUUUUGAUGCUAUAACUGUAGCUUAGAACAUGCCGAGCAAUUGACAGCAGGAGGUGGAGGAGAGCGUAGUCGAGCGAUUUACAGGAGGUGGAGGAAGAGGAGGAGGAAAAGGAACGCGGCGACGAUAGAUGCCUUGCGGCCCAAGCGACUAACGAACAUCUUUUUUUGUCGUCUUUGUCUUUAUUACGACAGUCGCCCCCGACACCGUAACGUUAACCUUUAUGAAGGGUCCAUGGCUUCCCCGGCUUUGAUGGAUGGUCCCCUCCGCACUUGGACACUGUGUCUGCAACUUUAUUUGUUAUCCCGCCAGUACUCUACGCGCGCGCACCUGUAGGUUGUCCCGAGGUCGAUGCCAACUGCUGGCGUAAUGUUAACCGACAUCUUUCAACCGACAGAGCAGUCUAAUCGUAGCUAUAUUGGAAGUCGCUCCUUGGUUGAGAGUUGUAAAGCGCCUCCCGACCGAUUCUGCUACCAAUUCGAAUCUCCUGCCAAGCAGAGCCUUCGAGGUCAGUUCUCGGACCAAACUAGGAAAUUAACGAAUCAGAAAAGGAAAACUGGUAGCUGGAUUGCAGAGUUUAUUAAGAAAACCUUCGCUGAAGUAACACUUUCACACCGCAUCGCGUUUCGUGAGAGUUGUAUCAGAACCUUGACUGGGUUAUAUUGCAAGGCUGAGCUCCAGGGUGACCAUGCGGCCCCGCACACGGUGUCGCGGACUCGCGGUGCUUCGAUCCGACAUGCAACUGACACACAAACGAUCCGACGAUUGCCCUAUAGAAUACAACAUGAACAAUCGCGAUACGGCUGCAUCCUCCGAAGCAGUCCUAAUUUAGCGUUUGACCCCUUGAUCCCGUCUCUCACGACUUCUUCCUGCCGUUGGCGAAGCAUACUAAAUUGCUUUGGGCAGCAGCGCCACACAACAUAGAGCUCCUUCCGGUCGGUCUGUUGGAAAUGCCAAAAAGACCCACGGGUCACUCUUCGUCCCCUCGCCUGUCUCUGAUCUAUUAAAUGUUACAAAGGAGUUUUCGUUGCUGGGCCACCACCCAACCACCUUCCUGAGAGUGUCUUAUUUGUUAUCUGUUGGUCGACUGAGAAGUUUCCGGCGGAAGACGCCUUUGAAGCGCCUUUGGAUCUCGAGUCAGUUCUGUAUAUGCAUAUAUAUGCAUAUGGGAUCUCCUUUAUUUACCGAAUAUGUUGUUCCUGGCUGCUGUCUGAAGCAAGCAAUUUUAUAAACCUAACCUUAUUUGUCCAAUCCAACUGCACAAGGAUUAUUACAGCGCUUUGACACACAUGGUAUCGUCUGUAUAUAUUGGCGCUAUCCGCCGCUGGUGAUGGUGGUGAUGGUGGCAACAGCAGACAACAGCAGAGAAAGUCGAGUAAUGUAGCGGUGGGAUAACUUGGCGAAUAUUCAGCAGCGCUCUCCUUUCGCAAACGAAUAAAUGAAUAUAUAAACCCGCAUCUAAAACAAGCUGUUCUCGCUAGUCAUCACUUGUCGUCGCACCCAACUUCAGCUAGUCUAGACCAGCAGAGCCGAAGAUAGGAAUGUGUUCAAACGCCGCUGCUGAUGUUAAUUUUUUGGCGCCACCGCCUUCAAACAGCACAAGUAAACCUGGCCGUCCAAUUGCAAGGCCAGUUAGCCACACCAAGGAAAACUUAGAAACAAAAAACAGUAAUAUCUUGCCGUACAGUUCCUUUCAUCUACCGUACAUUCAUGUAGCCAAGUAAACUGGCACAGGUAAAGCUUAGGGACGAUAACAACGCAUAUUCAACAUCCGGCAGAAUCACAGUCCAGCGGUUGCAACGCACGAGAUAAUUGUGGCGUGUAUGUAUAUUUCGUACAGAUUCUUCGUACAUCGCUGGAAUGCUCCCCCUUCCGCAGAAUCGGGUCCAGCAAAGCAUCUCAUCUGCCAACAACGUUGCCGUACAACUUCAUAUCUUCUUCUUAAACAUUAAUGUACGACAGGUAGAGGUCUGGAAUUUUUUCAUGAAUGGACAGUGCAGGAGGUUUUAUUAACGAAACGCCAACGAAAAAACGAACGACGUUUCGCGCGUACCGCAAAGGUGCGUGUUUGAUGUUCGCGUGUGCGUGUGUUGCAAGGGUCUGAGCCGCGAUGGCGAAUGCCUGCUGUCAUGGUGGUACAGCAGCAGCAGCAGCAGCACAAAUGAGCAGUAACUUUAGGCGGGCGAAAGCGACAGCUCCGAACAGUCGCCGCAAAGCGACGUGUUAGCUAGACCUUCCAAUGAAACUAUGUUACAGUAGACGUAGCUGUUUGAAUCUCUCUCUCAAGUAGAUGUCGAUGUUAAAGGAGUGAUGUGGUGUCGAGAGCCCGUUGGAGCAAACGGGGGCGCUGUAUUGGCGAAGAUCGACCUGCAGGUAGUGGGCUGUUAGAACUAACUAAAGACAUCGAGGGCUGCCUCUCUGUGUGAACAUAUUUGUGUCGCAAUACAUAAAAACCCUACUCCAACAAGAAUCAACUGGUUCGCACGAAUUCAUGGGUGUGCAUAUUAUCGUACACAAUAUCAACAUCAACACUAGCAUAACUCAACGACCUAAGUCGGCGUUUACCCAACACGGGGUGCCGUAUUGACCAUGAACACAUAUGCACGUGAGUACGGGUGUAAUGGAUUAUAGUAACGGAUUGCAUUCCGUACGUGUACGGCACGUGGCAACCGAAUGGGAGUCCCUCAGAGUCCGUUCACUGUCUACCCUUCCACCCCCCGAUGCGGAUUGGUGGUGAUUGAAAUAGCUAUAUUAGCCGAGAUGGGGGGAAGGUUGGGGCCCAAGGUGAAGAAGAGACGAGGGAGAAAAAUGCCAAUCAACAUCUCUAAGGAUUGUAAGCGUCCAUGUCCAAGCCCAUGAUGCAGGUCACCGCAGACAGAUCGACAUCACCAUCGACUAUUUCGGCUUAUGCCGUUACACUUAUUUAUGAAGUUUUUUGACUGUAUUGACUGCGAGCUCCAUUUAUUACUCUGCUUUAUUUUUCCGGCAUGGCCAGAGGGGGGUACAUCACAACAUUUUAUUAUCCCGGCCAUCAUCCUCGUCAUCACCGCGCCAUCAUUAUCGCACACCGACAGACACCGACAUGCCAACAACGGCGCCGUGAUCACCUUACACGAAAAUUGCAUAUUGACGACUCCUCGUCGUACACAUUGCGGAACCAUGAAUUAGGUCUUAGGGUUUUGUCCCGCCACAGGAGACUCACCACAAUGCUACCACAUGUCAGGCAAGCCGUACUUGUCGUACAAAUCUUGCCCCAGACGCUGCACGAGGCAAGGUGUUACCAUGCGUUGCACGUGAUGUGCAUGUAUGUGUGCCCAGGCAAACCCAUGUGUGACCCCCCUCUGCUUGCCAUAUUGCAUGUAGCGGCCACUGGGGCGACAUCAUUUUUGCACAGAACGGUUCCCCGAACACCACGAACACACAUACAUACAUACAUACAUACAUACAUACAUACAUACAUACAUACAUACAUACAUACAUACAUACAUACAUACAUACAUAGGGUUGAGGAGUGGUGAGUGGAAACAGGUGGCCGUAGCGAGGGCGCGGAUGAGGGGGAGGUGGGCACCCAGAAGGGGGGGCCGUACUCGAAGGUGCGCGCGUGGUGCAGGACUAGGUUCUUCAGGGUACGAGACCGGGUUUUUCGUGGUGCGGCGUCUAGGUGAGAUAGGAUCUUGGGAACCAGCCGUCUUGGUAGAGCGGUAUUGGGGGGGCGCCGAGCUGGCUACCCUCCCCCCCUGUGGUUUCCGGAGGCUUGAUCGCCCUGCGUUGCCGCAGGGUCUUCCCGUUUGAGUACUUUUCAAUUUAGACCCAGUGCUGUGGAAGGGCGCGGACUUGUGCGGUGUUACCCCCUCGACGGGGGCUAUCUCCCCUGGACUAGCCCAGGGAGGGAGAGGCGGAGGAGGGUAGUAGUCUCAGGAGGCUGUUUGGCGUCUUGUGGUGUGAGCUCUUUGCGCUCUUUUUUGCGUGAGGAUUUUUGAGCUUGGUGACCUCCCCAGCCCGGGAAGACUCGUCGGGCUCCCGGUCGCCCAAGUCCUGGUAGCGAGCUCUCUGAGAUGCUCGGUUCGUUCGGUCGGCAGGAAGAGCCCCCCAGUUGCGACUUCGUUUAUGUUAGGAGACCAACGGGCAUAGAUCCCGUCUAGUUGGAGCGCCAAACAAGCGCUGUUGCGUGCCGGCCGUCGUUUCCCGUGCGGCCUGACCCGGGGGCGGAGUGCAUGAGACUAACCAGCCGUAUGCACCCGCCCCCCGCGCUGUGCUUCGGCCCUGGGCCCCCGGCUUUUCAGCCCACAGUGUAAUCAACGUCAUACAUACAUACAUACAUACAUGGAGGGGCUGCGGAGUGGCUGCGUAGAGUGUUGGCAGUCUGAGUCGGGGUCGGGAGCACACAAGACUAACCGACUUGUGCUGUGUGCUCCCGACCCUUGCGCUGUGUUUCGGCUUCGGCCCCCGGCUCUCGCGGCCCACAGUGUAAUCUAAGUCAUACAUACAUACAUACAUACAUACAUACAUACAUACAUACAUACAUACAUACAUACAUACAUACAUACAUACAUACAUACAUACAUACAUACAUACAUACAUACACAUAUGUAAAUGCCAAUACAUGAUCGUGUACAGUAGUGCAGGGUGCCCUUCCAUUGGAGGGUGGAGUACCUUACCUUAAGUCGUACCGUACGGCAGCUGCAAUGCACAUGUACGGCCAUAUCCCCCAGUCCACAGCUCUCCCAGCAACCCAACCCCGGGUGUUUGUGUGUGUUUGUGUAUUAAUAUGUGUGUAUGUGUCAUUACUGGGUUUCGUUUCCAUAAAAAAAUCUGUGCUUAAACCUGAGAGAACCGUUCCGGGUUUGAAACAUAGCAGCAUUGGCAGUAGCAGCAUUGGCAGUAGCAGUGGCAGCAUUGGCAGCAGCCGCAGUUGCGGCAAAUAAACCGUCUUCACCGUCCAGUCACCGCAAUCAUGAAUAGCUCCAACAGCAACAACACCUCACACUGCAAGAGGCGUGUUUGUUGGCGGGCACAACCCCAAAAGGGCCCAAAACUCGGAUAGUUCAGGAGGAACGCAGCAACCAAUACAACCGAGAACAUCGAGAUCGAGGAGAAUAAAGCCGCCGUCUCCCCCCCUGGUUUUUCCCUCUCCCUUUCUAUAGGAGGGGAAGACGCUGAUAAUCGAGAUUGCCAACUGUCGCCAGCUUUGCAUCCUCCUGACCAGCUUUACAUCGCCAUCUCCGGAAAUGCGGUAGCGGUAAUAAGCCCCGCAAACACCCCAACAUGUAUCUAUACGCACACACACACGCGCGUCCGGUCAUCAUCGUACGGAACUACGUAUGUCUAGCUAUCUCCUCCCAUCCCCCGGCCCCAGGAAUCAAACGCUCCUGACGCCCGGGACGAAAAUUCAACACCUUGAUAAAUUACCCUAUAGUUCCUUUGUGCAAUCUUUUCUAUUUUUUUCUUUUGCAAAAACAAUCCUUAUUCCUUUCCUUUGCAACAUAUAUACGAGGCCAGGAAUGCAGACAUACCGACGUAUCUCCCCCCAUACACACACGGCGAUACACACGUGAAUACACAUCCACACGCACGCAAAUCAUUCGUACGCAAACCAGUAUACAUGCCAGCUGCAAGCUAGGAUUGGAUUGACGCGAAAACCUAGGCAUCUUAACCCCACCAUCACCAUCACCAUCACCAUCACCAUCACCAUCACCAUCACCAUCACCAUCACCAUCACCAUCACCAUCACCAUCACCAUCACCAUCACCAUCACCAUCACCAUCACCAUCACCAUCACCAUCACCAUCACCAUCACCAUCACCAUCACCAUCACCAUCACCAUCACCAUCACCAUCACCAUCACCACCACCCUACCCAGCCACACGUGCAAAACAAGGUGAUUGCUCUCCUUCAUUCGCGGGGCUCAUCACAUCAGCUCGCAAGUCCCCUCGUACACAUCUCUCCUCUCUCCUUGUAUCUCAUGCUACAACACUCCUCAGCUCCAUCUCCACUUCGAAACCCAUUAACACCAAAUCGUUCAUUUGGCUCAAAAGGUGUGAAAAAAUGCUUGAAGCAUAUGAAUAUAGGGCCAAGGAGAUGUGCCCAAACACCUGCCAUGCGCCGCCAAGGCCACUCCAUACAAAAAACAGACAACACACAAAAUACGCUUAUCGUGGGGGUUAUCGUCGGCCAGCUGAAACACACACAUGGACCCACAUGGAGGUGUGAAUCGAAACACGUUAUGCAUAUAUACAUACAUACACACAUACAUACACACAUACGGCUCAUCCAUUCGCAGCACAGCACACACUCAGCUCAUUACUCCUUCGCGAAAUCAGAACCCGUAACGUUACGCACUUCCUAGGGAAGGUCAAACCCCGGCUUCCACGAGCCUCCACCAGCCUCGGAGAAAAAAUAAAUGUAGACGCCAAUAGACUUGCGGUUGGGCGGGGGCCAAGAGGCAGCGAGAGAAUGAAAAAGAUGACAUGCAAUACGUACCCACGUAACCCCAAGGCGUAUCCCCCCCCACCCCCCCAGCUGCAAAAGCAAUGACGCAUAUUUCCCCUUUCCGUCGCGUUACGUCUGGCCCCUAACAACCGUCGGCAACGUCAGACUUCGGCGACUGGAUGGCAGCCCCGCCAGCCUGCAGUCUACCGCAGGUACCGCCGACGAGGAUGGCGACGGCGACGGCGACAUCGCGCCGUACAACGACGCGCUGGGUGACGUCGGACUGAGGCAUGACGACGACGCCACGCAGCCAGCGGGUGACGGCGACUGCAUCAUCGCCAUCGGCGUGAUAGAUCCGGAUCCAGAUGUCUGACGGCGCAGUUGGUACGGCACCGGGCCGCUGCUGCAGCCACCGCCGCCGCCGCCGCCGGGCGGUGUCGGAAUCAGCGCAUGAGGGCUAAGGGUCGCGGCGGCGGUGGGGGAGCUGACGCUGGCGCUCCGGGCCACUAGCACCGGCGACGGUGCUCCAGUGCUGGACCGAUGCAUACCGCCGCCGCCGCCGCCGCCGCCGCCACCAGCGUGACGUGUCGUCAACUGGCCCCUCGAUGUAGCGCGGACCUUCAUGCUGCUAAGAGCCCCGUGGUGGUAGAGGGACGACUCCAAAGCGAUGCUGGCGGUGACAGCGACGGCGGCGGCGGAUGAUAAUGUGGUCGAUGCGGCGCUGGCGGCUACCGUUGUGACCGUAUCUGUGUUUGUGGGCACUAUAGCGUUGGACAUCGUGGCUGUGAGGAACGGAGUGACCGCUGUGGCGGUAGCAGCAACAGUAGCAGUAGAGGUGGCUGUAGUUGUAGAGGGCGGUGAGGAUUUGGGCCCGGUGGGGCCGGUCUCUGCCGGAGAUGUGCUGCUUGAGUUGAAGAACCUGACCGCCCGGACCGGACCGGGAGGCAGGGAUGCGCGUGUGUCAGGAAAGGGGUUGGGUUGGGGGGGGAAACGAGGGGGAGCGGGGUUUCGGAGCGGAUACGGACUGGGGCAGAGAGGGAAGGGUUGAAGCGAGGGAAACGCGGGCGAUGGAUCAGAUCAGCAGAAGCACAAUCGGAAGGUGGCGUUCACUUUUAUUGCAGGUGCCGCCCAGUGCUGAGCUGUACUGUAAACGCGGAUUGUGAGCGAAGCACGGAUUAUCACUCAGAGAUCCCACAGCGGUCACACAGAGGUCACACAGAGAACUCACCCACGCAGGAGGAUCUUCAGAAACCUCCCGCUAGCGAACCCACUGCUGCUGCGACUGCCGGUAACCUGAGAUGAUGAUGUCGCUGGACCUCGAGCUAACCCCCCGUCAUGACUCACACUGCCCCCGCCGCCGCCGCCGCCGCCGCCGCCGCCGCCGCCGCCGCCGCCGCCGCUACUCACAAAUCCAGAACCCAGGCCGCCGUCGGCGCCGCUGCCGCCACCAUCCAUAGACUCCUCUCGCGCGGCAGCUCCCCCCCACGCUUGAAUGUACGGUAACUGGGCGGUUGACGUCCCAGUGCCGAACAAUGUCCCAAUGGAGCGCCGUACAGAUUGCACGUGGGUGGCUGAAUCAGCCAUUUCCACAUUGGACGGCCGACGCGGUGAAACCGCCGCGGCCGCCGACGACGACGACAUUGACGACGUCGCCACCGCCAUCGGGCUUAAGGGACCCCCCAUUUGCUGUUGGUGGUGCUGAUGUUGGGAUGGGGAUGGGGAUGGGGAUGGGGACCCAGCCGUGGUUCUGGAGCCCACAUCUGUGAAGGUUGUACGACGCAGUGUACCAGGGGAUUUGGAUUCCGUGAAGGAUCUCGCGGCCUGGAGAGUCCGGCGGCUAGUGGGUGGAGUUCUGAAGGGAAAGGCGGCGGCGGCGGCGCCGCCGAGCAUGCCGCCGGCGGGGAUUGUGAUGCUGGAGGCAUCGAAAGUGACGACGGAGGAGCGCCGUUUCUCUGAUGCGGACUGGGCGACUGGAGUGCGGGUUGCCUGCUUGCAAGGGUUUUUGCACGGGGUUCAGGGGAGAGGAGGGAAGGUGCCUGGGGUUGGUGGGAGAAUAAUCAACGAAGUCAUCUUAGGUUGGGGGUUGGGUCGGGCUGGUGAGGGUGGCAGGCAGCAGCUCUGGGUGGGGCUGGAGGGUACGGGGUGGGAUAUAAAACGAUAUAAAACGUGGCUGAGUAUUGGGAUACAAAGGGAAGGACGAGGUCCUGGGGGGAAGGGCGGCUGCACGGGGGGACAGCUGCUAGGCGCUUGGAGGAUGGGAAGUCGGCGAGUAGGGCGACAGGGGAGAGGGCCGGCUUUGCGAUUGAGGGUUGAUGCAAUUGAGGCGUUUUUCAAUUUAAGUGCUUUACGACUUUAGGGUGCAAACGAACUGGGGAAUAAGUAACUGUAAGGAUUAAGCUUGGGAGUUAAGGACAGGUCUUUCUUGGUUACGAACCACGUUACCCUUUAGUGUUUGCAAUAGUGGAAACCACCUGAUAUGCGUAAUAUUUUUAUUGAUGAAUAAUUUGCAACUGAUGAUUGGUAGAGGCCUUUGACGUUCAUUUUCUAUCCUUUCAUGUUAAUUGGAGGUCGGAACUUUACCGGGACAGGUAGGUCGUUGUCGUCCUCCGAGUCUUCGACCUGCAUCGGCUGAACAGGAGCAAAUUGAAGCACCUGCCCUGAAUUAUUCAUCGGCGCCAUGUCGGUCUCUGAGGUUUCCUGCAGCUGGCCUGAAGCGUGCUGCGCGGCGGCAAGCAAUGCUUCCAGCUCGGCCAUGAGUGCCUCGCUGCGGUCGGCAUCCUGGUGAAGUCCGCAUAAUAGCUGCUCUGUUUCCUUUAUCAUGAUGCUGGCUCGGCGAUCCUUGCGUUGUCCCACAGGAACAGUUGGCAGUGCAGCUGCGUAAGGAGCGUACAACCGGGACAUACUGCCUCUUUAGCGUCAACAAUAUAAAGUAAUCCCUCAAACAACUGAUAUCUCUUUCAACUUGGACGAUAUGAAGUAAGGUUCAUUUAACAAACGGAACCGGGUCCCAGAGGCCAAGUAGAACUUCUUGAACUCGACCCGUAACUCGACAGGAUUACAACACGCACUUGUAAGGCACGUGCGGUGCAGCAAAUUAUUCUGGCAGCAUAUGAAAGCAAAUGCCGAAAUUCGCUGCGCUACCCACCUGGGGGAUUGCAAUUGUCUUGUGCGUUAGGGCCUGGCGAUGCCAUUUUAAAUCAGCGUUAUAUUUUAAAGUUACAAGCUGCUUUCGAUAAAGCUUUGCGAGUCAGUUGUUAUCCUUCCGUCCCGAGAGUUGGAGCUUCCUAACAUCUAGGCGCAAGGAAUAGCUGGAAAGUACAUAAGCGAGCACCAGUUAUCUCGUAAUUAUUGUUUCAGUUUAUUGACGCAGUACGUAUGUUUAGAUGCAACAGCAUCAACGUAACUGAAUGUAACCGUACUGAUAGAAGGUCCGACGCCGCAGAAAGUUUGAGGCGCAAUUGAAAACAGUAAUACGAUAAAAUCCAUACCUUCGAUACGCAAAUGAGGUUUCGUGGUUCACCUAACAGCGAGGCAUGUGCACGCCUACUGUAUGUCCGACCGCAAAAGUUCACCGUAGCUAGCCAGCAGCCGUUGUAAACUGAGAGCAUUCUUGUCUCCUUAGCCGCACAAGAGUGGUGCAGUACGCAAUAAUGGAAUGCCAAAAUACAAGGUUUACGGUGGAGGAGAUUUCCCUGACCAAUACAGAUACAAUCCAUUCACACUUGUACUGAUAGCGCUGCGGUACGGGAUUGCGGCCGUUUGGAAAGGCCACGAUGGAUCGGGGCUUGGAGCGAACUUACGCCGCCGCAGCCAGGGGCUAAACCUUUUGUGGCCUAACUAAAGAGCCCUGGGAAGAUGCCAUGCGAGCGUGCGCACGCCGUCGGAGCCGGCGCUGUUGGGGACGCGCCCGCCCCCCGCGCUGAAGUUACUGGCAUCGGCAACGGUCGUGAGACACCCCCCCGCUGCUUUAGGCUCCAGCCCCCUUCCGACGCCCGCAGUACACGCUCGCACGUCCCCGGUUCCUCGCGCAACGAACACGCGCGCGCUGCUGGCCUUCGCAUUUGUAUUCCAUGUAGAUAUGCAAUCAAUUGUAUUACGAAUUUCGCAGCGCUCAGAAUUUACAGCACAUCUUUUUGGCUCAUUCCUAGACCGGUUCAGGAAUAAGGAAGUUUGUUUGCUGAUGUCGCGUCUGUUACUUUUGUCGCCAUGAACAAGGUUGUGGGACAAAAUGGCUAUACGAUGCCUCUGAGAGCUCCAUCCUCGUGUGAACUUUCGGGGCCCAUUUAUCUUCCUUGCUAAAGCCGAUAGCUAUUAUCAUAUUGUGCGUCAUUCAAUUUUUUGAAGAUAACGCCACCAUCAAGGGACUCCUUGCCCUCUGGGAUUUAUACAAAGAAAAAUAAAUUCCUAUUAUAGAGUUCUAUCUGUCUCGGCUUUUUCCCCUCCGGCACUUCCCAUCCGAAUGGCAAACCAUCAAGUUUAAAUGAUCUGCAGCCCCCCAACGGCUGUCGUUACUUCGAGGAGAAUGGCGUACACAAAGACACGUUCGAUUCGACAGUUUCCUUUCCGUUGUCUCUCAAAAAAAAAGCUCUCAAGUGCAGCUGCCUGCCUCAUGCAUACGAUUUUACGGUACUGUUGACAUGGACACGCCGUACAAACGGUUCAUUUUCUCCUUAUACACUCCUCAGGAAUUCAGGUCCCGAGCUUGCACCUUCACAACAUACCCAACAUCUAAAUUUGGGUCGUAAGGAUAGUUCCCGGGAUAGGUAGUUGUUUGCCACACGCCUUUGCCACAGACACCCGAUAUGUCGUACAUCCGCGCAAGCUGGAAGUCCGAAACCUUUAGCAUCCUUCCGCGUUCCGCUGACAAUCACCGUCGUCAUCAGCACGGCAUAGCUGGCUGGCUUCUCGCCCUGUGGAAAUAGUAAUUUUUUAAAGCUAAAUACAAUACCAGGGAAAUGGAGAACCGGAAAUUUGUUAAAGAAAGGGGAGCUUUCACGCCUUUUCCCCCCGCUCUCUCGCAAUUGUACGCAGGGCGACAGUCGCAGCGCGGGCAUAUGUGCCGCUUUGGCGGUCAAUAAGUAAUAUUCGGGGUAAAAGAUUUCAUUACAAGUAAUCCAAGCAUGUACGACAUGUACGACAUGUACAACUGCUUUCCUUUGGACAUCUUCGUGAGUGCAUAUACGCGUGCAUAUGCACGUGAGAGAGAGAGUGUGUGUGUUUGCAUGCCGUACAAUCUACACAUGUUGUCAAGGAAGCAACCCACUGCUCCCAAAUUCUGUGGGAGUUCAUUUCCCUUCGCCCCUAGACACACACGCACAUACAUACAUACAUAUAUGCGCACACACACAUACACACAUGCACACACACAUAUACAUGUAAACGGGCACCCAACCUACCAAAGCCCGUAAAGGCGGUUCCCUUCUCCGUCCACUCAGCCGUUCCCGUUCAUGUCUACAAAAGUCGUCUCCAAGAGCCACGAUAAAGUCAAAAUGUCAAAACGUGUGUACAUGUGUGUACGUGUGUGUGUGUGUGUGUGUGUGUGUGUGUGUGUGUGUGUGUGUGUGUGUGUGUGUGUGUGUGUGUGUGUGUGUGUGUGUGCGUGUGUGUUUCUGUAAAGCGUGCCGUGGGUCACACGUCGAUGCAUGGAUGUGAAUCCUUGGCCCCACAAAGCCAAUGGCCGUACAGUCGUACGCACAGCACCUAAUAGGAAACGGAGACGCGUGUGUUUCCUGCACCGUCUCUGCUCCCCCCAACCCCCCAACCCCAAACUUCUCCCCCACACUCCUCCUUCCCCCCCAUUACGAGGGGAAACCCUCUCCUCCCCCCCUUUACCCCCCCCACGUGCUCCAUGCACCAGCGCUCCGUCUAACCCCCCAGACCCCGUUCCCAUCCGUCCAAGGGAACACUUUGGAGGUUUCCGAAAUUCAGGGCUCCCUGUGCCGUACAUGCCCUCCAUGCACAAAACACGCCCGUCUAAUAGCGGUCAAAGCAGCAACCAGCUAAACUCGAAGUCCUCCGAGAGCUCGCCUCCCCACAUACUACUCCCCCCCUCCCCCCUUCCCCCUCUCCCCCUCCGGUGGGUUCGGGGCCGCCUUCGCGGACAGCGAUCCAACCACCCAACCACCCAACCACCUAGCCAAGCGAUGCAAACUAAAAAAUGCAACCUUCAUUCCGUCCCCCCCACACACGUGAAUACACUAAACACACACACACGCACGCACACACACACACACACACACACGCACACACGCGUUGCAGCGCCCUUCAUCCCGGAUUGGUCUCUCCCGCUCCUCCUCCCCCUGCUGCUGCUGAUGGUGCUCCUCCUCCUCCUCCUCCUCCUCCUCCUCCUCCUCCUGCUGCUAUCCUGUUCUUUGCACUGUGUACCACCGCUAGCACUAGUACCGUUAAAAAGUGUUAUAUCCCGAUGCUGCUGUGUCGCUGCUGCCUCCCCACUUCCGCUGCCAGUGACCCCCCCCCCAUCCCUCCCGCCGCUGCUACCUCUUAUACCCCUUCCACCACCUCCCCCCCCUUCAGGCCACUCAGUGCGAUCCCACGCCGUGCAUGGCCAGCUCGCAGUCCGGGUCGCCGUCACAUUCACAAGGUUUAUAGCUCUCCACGGGCUGGUACGGCUUCGGUAUGUAAUCUGUCGUAUACAUGCUGACGCCCUCGAAGGGCCCUUUGCCUCGGAGCGCUCGAGUGCCACUCGUGGGCCGACCCGCCAUCGCCCGCAAGCCGCCAUUCAUCUUGUGGAAAUCCGUACGGUACGUUGUCGUACCGUCAAAAGGUCCCACGGAAGCCAGGUUUCCAGAUGCGCUGGGGCCUGCCUUCGUGACGGGUUGCGUGCCCCAGUUUUGGAAGCUGGUCUUCAUUUCGGUGGUGUCCUGGAAGGGGCCGGCGGCGGGCUGGAGCUUGGCGGAGGGACGGAUACGUUGGUAUGGCACGUCCUGUGGGGGCGGGUAGGGGGCAGAGGGGCGGGGGGCCGGGGGUUUAGCGCCAAAAGGGUAAAAAAAACAUGUACACGCAUACGUAUGUAUAUGUAGUAAAGGCAUUUCCUGAAACAAUAACAUAAAAACACACACAGGCACGCGGCCAAAGACAUUCGGCGAACACGUCCGGACGACAUGCCGUACUUCCAGGGGGUUUGUCCAACCCUCCACCGACCACAAAAGGACUUCCACUCCCCCCCCUCGCACCCUCCUCCCCCCAGACAAACCCCGGAUACGCAAGUCUACCCCGUCGUACCUUCUUGACGUACGUGUCCUUGUACGUGCUGACGCCCUCAAACGGCCCCGAGUCCCGCGGGUCGUCAGCCGGCCGCCCCGCACGUUCGUACUCCGGUGCCGUACGCGGCCGAAACUCCGUGCCGUACGUCGUCGACCCCGAAAACGGCCCCUUGGGCAACGCUGCGCCCGAUGCACCCGUGGUGGCCGCGGCCCGCGGCGGGGGGUCCCCGGCCUUCUCCACGUAAUGCCGCCGGUACUCCGUUGACGGCACGCCGUCGUACCAACCAUCCGGCCGCAUCGUCUCGUCCGAGUGCCGUACACGCUCCGGUGGCGAGACCUGCUUAGGUGUGUAGACCGAGCGGUGAGUGGUCGCGUCGUUAAAGGCGCCCCCGGGGAGGGCCGCUCGUUGGCCCAGCAGCGGUACGGCAGGUUGUGGACGAGCACCCGGCCAACGGCGGUAAUCAUCCUGAAAAAAGGUACGGCAAGGUCCAGUCGUAAGGGGAAGGGGGGAAAGGUGGCCAUGGGGGCGGGGUUGCGGGGAAUUGAGAAGGGUCGUACUCAACAGACCGCUGCGAUGAAACCCCCCUUCCACACACUUCGGGACCCCCCUCAAAACCCUAAAACCCUAAGACCACCCCAACCACCACCAUUAAAUACAGUGUUGAGUGAGGGGCUAGGCCUACCCCCCACCCCCUCCCGCUUUCCCGCCUUAAAGAGGAUGGCGACCUCGGGCACAGGGGGGGGGAAGGGGUCGGAAAUGCGACAUCGUGGUGAUGGUGGCCGCAGUUGUGGGAUACCCGGGGACCGCAAAACACACACACAUACACACACCACGUCUGUCCCCAUCCCAUUAUCUGACGCACGCGUCGUAGCCCCCCGNNNNNNNNNNNNNNNNNNNNNNNNNNNNNNNNNNNNNNNNNNNNNNNNNNUGAGGAUCCCCCACAAAUUAGUUGUCGUUACCUAUUUUUUGCCCUGCAUACGCGCCCGCCCGCAGGCCCCCACCACGCUCUACUCUUCGGCACGCUACAUAGCCACUACUCUUCUCCCGGGCAUCCGGACCCCAUGGGACACAAACUUCCCUUCGACAAAUCGUUUUUCGCGUCACGGUUUAGGUAACUCAGUCCGACCGCGACCGCGAUCCCGCAAUCCGAGUGCCGUAUUUCUGCCGUACACAUACCUUGUAGGCGCUGACGCCGUCAAAGGGCCCCACGGCACGCGGUACGGACACGGAGCGCCCGGCGGCCGGCGUGGAGGGUUUUGCACCCGCCCAACCGGGGAAGGACUCCUUCAUGGUCGUAGAGUCCUGGAAAGGUCCGGCUGCGGGCUGGAGCUUGUUGGCCGGUCGUACACGGUUGUACGGCACAUCCUUGGCGGGGUAAUCGACCCUGCAUUGUGGCGUGCGGAACGAACAAACGAACGAAAGGAUGAGCGAUGGAGCAAGUGGGGGGAAGGCGGGGGCGGCCUUCGGGGGUUGCUUGGGGAGGAAGAGGGGGGAUCGGAGAGCUGUUCGACUUUUGCCGUGUAUUGUUUGCGUCAGGUGUGGGGUGCUGUGUAUUGCUGUCCGGUGCUGUCGUACGGCACCACGCGUCAGGCCCUAAUGAACUCCCAGGGUGCGUUCCGCGAAUUUCGCAAACCACGAGGUCCACGUACGGAAUUUGGCACAGAUGCACCCGUACAAACAUCCGUACAUCCGUACAUCCGUACGCACGUACUUGUAAGUGGUCCAGGGGCUAAACGGCAGGUUCUCCUUCUCGCCCGCGGGAGGUUUGAAGGAUUGAGCGGGGCCGGCUCCCGCUGGCGCCUGAGUGUGGGGAAUGGGGGACGAAUGCGGAGAAGUGUGUGUCUUUGUUUCUCUGUCUGUCCGUCUGUCUGCCUGUCUGUCUACCCUAUCUGUCUGUCUGUCUGUCUGUCUGUGUGAAUUGCAAGGAUGGGAAGGAGCUGGGAGAGGAUGAGGGCCUGGGAUUACGUGUGGAUGUGUCUGUACGAAAGUGAACUAAGAGUACGACUCGAAUAAUCACGGGGGAGAUUACGACAGUGAUGAAGACAAAGACGAGGAUGACGUGGAGCAGGGGGAGAAGGCAAUAUGGUGCGGCUCGGGGUGGUGAUGCGGAGGGAGUGGCCGCCUGGCUUAAACCCCGAUGGCUCUAGGCGGGUUUUGUGUGGUGACAGAAAAGGGAGCGAGUCAGUGCGUACCUGGAAAUUGGUGCCGUACGAUGUCGUCCCAUCAAAUGGGCCGUCCGGUCCUAAUUGGCUUCGGGGUAACAUGGACGCGGUGCGCUCGUGGGGGGCUUUCUUCUCCCAGUACUCCUGCAAAGGCAGCGAUCGAAGUUUCAUUAUAAAGAUACAUUUAAAGUUAUAGAUGGUGUUUUUGUGAUGAUAGAAAUGGUUAUUGCGAAUUUGAUGUUAUUGCAAGUAGUGAUAAGGAAAAACGGUUACGGGACUUGCCUUUUGAUACUCAGUAAGGAGUGCCCCGUCGGUCCACGGCUCCUUCCGUCGCCAUCCCUUUGGGCAUGGCUUCUGCAAGGAGUUGACAUCGGCCAUUGGGUAUGAUGUAAAGGCCUUGCUGGCAUCCCCAGUUGCAUCCAUGCCAGUGCACCGCGGCCCAUCGCCGAAAGAUGCUUAAGAGGGUAUUUCGCGUUGGGUUUAUCUGUUUUAAAAUGUAGGAACGCAGGUCUAAAUCAUGGCGACGACAAACCUUUUUCGGAUUGGCCGUCAUCGACUGAGCAAGCACCGUUUGUUGGUCCGUCAUUAACUGCUCCAUUAUGAACGUUAAUAGAUGUUGUUAAGGGAGCUUUUGGCUAUGGGCUGCGUUUAAGAAGAGCAGUCACUGUUAUCUACCUACCACCUCUGCAUCCAACGUUUGAGCUGAACAGGCCAGAUAAAGGAAGGCUUCGGUGCAUACAGGUAUCGUUUGAGAGUCAUCAGGGUCUGUUAUUGAUCUUUUGCAGCGCGUCUCUGCGCAAGUCUCCUCUGGUUCGAAGUACGGCGAAAUGUAACGAUACGACUGGUAAAACCGACCGCAAAGCCUAAUCGGCCGCACCCGUUGUGCAGCAUUCCGGUUGAAGCUACAAUCAAUCUACUGACAGCCAAAACUGGGUACAUAACUGAGUCGCAUCCUCCAGGGCAUUCGGUUAUCCACAGCCAUCGCGCUGCACUUGUCUAUCAAUUGCAACCGGAUAAAGAGAAGAAAACGUGAUAUACUUUGCUUGGAAUGUUACACAGCUUGAAACCAGACAUAUCCCAAUCCUUAGCAUCCUCCGUCGCCCUCUCAGCCACAGUUCCAGUAGCGAAGACAUAAUCAGAGGUAAUCCGCUGCCGGACAUCAUACGGAAGAUGGUAACUCAUGUACCAAAACGGCGACAACAGCCCCAGCUGGUUUGGAACUGCAGAAGUAAGUCGUCAUACAACAUAUCCUGAUGAUGUUCCCCCACAAGCGCACGAACAGCACUGAUCAGACCCCCUAACCAUUUCGCUACCAAUUGUCUCGAGCCAAGGACGCUUUUCAGCUCAGCAUUCCUCAGCAUUCCUCACCCCUCCCUGUCACCAAAAUAACCCCCUGGAUUUAGAACAUCUAGCGCUGUUUCCGCCUGGAUCCGACUUCGGGACACGCCGAAAACUGACCUGGCUGGCCAAGUGAUGGCCACUGUGAACAGGCAUGUGUUCCUGCCACCCCCUCACCCGGACCCCAUGCCCUCUCACAGCUCGGGAAGUGAAAAAGCUCAUGCGCCUUCAUGUUUCCAUCUUCAACGGCUCGCCCUCCUUCACUUUGAGCUGGGCUGCAACCUCAUCGAUAGACGCGUUCAGUUGGGCAAUCUUCUCAAUGAGGUCCUGCUUCGUUUGCUCCGGGUCCUUGGGCUGCUCAUCCUCCAGGAAACGUGGCAACUUUAGCCGUUGGUCAUCCCCAAGGAUAGCCUUAGAAAUCUGUGGGUAUCGGCACAAAGGUCCGGGUCGGAAAUUCCACGCAAGCAUGGCCCGUGAGCGUUAAGUCGUAAACUCACCUGCGGAGCAAAUAGGAACCCAAGUGCGCCAAACACUACACCGCCAACAACAACUCCAGCCAGAAAGCUGUCGCUGUUGCGCCCAUUGCCCUCGGCCCUGUAAGCGUUUUUGGAAAGGAAUGGGUCGGACGCCGGCGUUCAGUUCGCGGACUACGGCAAAUACUUAAAGGCACGCCCAGCUAAACACGUGCAAUUUUGCAUUAAAGGCCACCUCACCGAACGACGAUCGCCGACCGGGGCCGGACGGGCAACGCCGCCCGAACUCGGUGGACUUGCGCAGCCCGCUGGGGCAGAACAGCUGCAGCAGGAGAACAUCCGAGAAAGUAUAUUUAGAUUCUACUUAAAUGCGUUUCCAUGGCAGCGCCUAAUCCUUGGACACGUGCCCGACCACUAAUUUGCAAAUUCUCACCUUGUUGGCGAAGCAUUGUUACAAUCUGUGAUACAAAGACACCAGAAACAACAUAUCUGACAUGGUACGUUAAUCAACUUUCAAGCGACUGGUCUCGGAGCCGAUGCCACCUACAAAUUGUCAGAGCUAGGCUGUAUAGCAGGGUCUGACGGUUAUCACAACGGAAAGUUAAAAGUUGAUUAUCUUUUCUGUAUAGAACCAUCGUUCAAUUCGUCUUCUGUCGGUCUCGGAAACAUCUGAACCUUGGACAACAGCUAUCAGCUUUAGAGACCAAACUCCUGCUGCGCUGGGGCCAUGUUGGCAAUGCCGCAUAUUUCGCUGCCCCUGGUGGCCCUUUUGGCGGGGCUGUUUCUUACAGCUCCCCUUGCGUUUCUGCUGCUGCGCCCGCGCGGCCGCACGCUGGUCCUGUCAUCCUGGCCGCACCCCAUCUGGCUGUACAUCCAGGCGUUUGCGGCAGUCACCAAAAUGUCCAACAAGCGCAAGGAAGCGCCGGCCUGCGGCAAACCCGUCCAGGUGGGCCGCAAGAGCGUUUCGGUCGCGCUCCGCGGAUCCCAGCACGCAUCACGCUGCUGAGCAUCGUCUCAGCUGAAAAUAUUCAGCAGGAAUAAGUCCCUGCAGCGACCCAUUUGAGAUGGUCUCGCCCAGUGCUGUUUUGGACCAUAUUUGGCUACCCAGGAUUGUGCCCUCGACAGAGCUCAGAGCGAAAGUGGAAUAAGUCCAGGCUUUUCCCGUUCAGGAAGAUAUGCCAUCCCUUUCUAUUAGUUGGUUAAUUGACAGAAAUCCCGGAGUUUAGAUUAGCCUCCGAGAGCUAAGCAACAUCUGAAAAGCACAAGAAAAGUCUUUCGGACUUCCAUUUCUCGACCGGUAACGGCUCCGGCGCGUCAGGCCAACCGCACACCCCUGGAAUCUUCUUAACUCCUUAAUACCUUUCAGACGCCGCUGAUAACAUCGUGAGCUCUGCUUGCCCGUGCGCCGUCGUCCGCUCUGCCUUCCCCCCUCCUCGCCACACACACACACCUUCGCGCCCGUCCCCCUGCCCUCAUCCCUCACCUCCCACCCCGAGACAGUCAACACCGCGGUCACCCUAAAACCAAAUUCGAUAUCCCUAUCGUACCGAGUAACAACAGACCCUAAGAUCCAUAGCAUCAUGUACAUGCCGUACGACAGUUAGUACGGCAGUCAUUACUGGUUCCCUCGGAGCGCCCCGUUACCACGUAUUAGGAGUUGGCAAUGCCGUGCGCCAUCUCUCCUCAAUAUGCGAUGCAGUGCCUGCAGUGUCUGAAACGCUAACUAACUGCCCCCUCUGAUUUCCCCCGUUCGCCCCCCCUCCCUCCCCUCCCCUCCCCUGUUUGUUUGUUUGUUUCUUGCACGUACAUAUAUGACUUCCUUCCCUCCCCCUCCUCCACCUCCCCUUCCACCACCUCCUCCACCACCACCUCCUCAGGUGAUGUUGGAUCACGGGGUCCACUUCUCCCCGGGCAGGCUGAGGCGCUACCUGGCCCUCGCGGGUUUCAGUGGCGGCACGGCGGGGGAUGUGCCGCUCAUGUACCCCCUGGUGGAGGGUUUCCGGCUGGUGAGUCCGGCUGGGGCGGUGUCCGGAGACUGACUCUGAAAGGGACGGGGGGGAGGGGGGAAUGGAGGGGGAGCUCUGGUACGGGCACCAGAGCUGUCUGUCUGUCUGUCUGUUUAUUGUAUCUAUCUGCCUGUUAUUAUUUAUAUUUCUAUAAUAAAAUCCAGCUGCCGAGUGCAGCCACCCACAUCACCCCUUCCCCUAACCCCCAAACCCAAAGCCCAAACCCUCCCCAACCCCCCUGCUGGGUUUUCCCCGUCGCUCUUCUUCGCUGUCUGUCUGUCUGUCUGUCUGUUUAUUGUAUCUAUCUGCCUGUUAUUAGUUAUAUUUCUAUAAUAAAAUCCAGCUGCCGAGUGCAGCCACCCACAUCACCCCUUCCCCUAACCCCCAAACCCAAAGCCCAAACCCUCCCAAACCCCCCUGCUGGGUUUUCCCCGUCGCUCUUCUUCCCGCCGCAGUUCAUGCAAGCUCUGCUGCUCCCAGCCUUCCCCUUCAACGUGCUCGGCAGCGUGUUGGCGGGGACACGCGUGGUGGCUCUGAGGCGCAUCGGGGUGGACGAGAAGCUGCUGUACAGGUACGUUUGUACAGAUGCCGUACCCAUGUAACCGUGGGAUGGGCCGCCUCCAAAGAUGCCAGUGAUAGGCGACAGGGAGAGUUGCGGGGAAAGGGGGGGGAGAAAUGAACCCUAAAGUUGUAUUCAUCUGCAAUUACGAGUUUCACAGAGCUCAGGAUGAAUGUUGAGAAAUGUCGAAGGUGUCCAACACCGGGGGGGCGAGAGCUGUACGUGACUGUUUAGAUUCUCUGGGCAGAUGCUCAUGUAUUGCCUUCACCUUGAGGUCCACUUUAACCUCUUCUGCUUUACGCGGGGCGUUGUUUUUGUUUACGAGAGGAGAAGGUGUUUACCCCUGUGACCCGUGGGUCGGUUGGUCUAUUUCCGCCCUCUCCGCAGCUGCCGCGUGGAUCCGGCCUUCCGUACGACAGCGAAGGGGCACACCGAGGUGGAUGUGGUGGUUGAGGCUCACUCAGUGAGGGGCGACAAGAAGAGGAGUCCGCAGGCGGCGGGCACCGAGGGGGCGGAGGCUUCCGGCGCGGGUGUUGGUGGCGGCGCUGGUGGCGGCAGCGAGGCGCAGCUGGUUUGGCGAAGCGUCACCACCGUCAUCAUUUUGUCGCCAAGGCGCAAAGGCGCCAAACGGGAGCAGCAGCAGCAGCCGCCAGAGGCAGCAACGGCCACUUCGGCGUCUGGCAAGGUGCGGCCUAAGGGCUCCCCCGCCCUCCUCGCCGUCUGAGUACGGAAGUGCCAGCAGCUGGUCCGGCAGCAAUAUGUUUCUUUCGUCCCAUUUGUCUGUCCGUCUGUCUGUUUAUUUGCCCGCCCACUACCCAAAUGGUUGGAAAAAUUCUUACCGUUCGACGCUUCCGUGUUGUUAAGACCCCCAUGACCCUCUAAAACCCAUGUUGUAACGACAACAACAACAACAACAAAACAUAAACCCCUAAAACCCUAAAACCCUAACAAAACAACGACAAGAAACAGGAGCCUGCUGGCCCCGGGGAGGGGGCGGAGGGGGGAGAGGCGAAGGGGAGUCAGGCGGCCGAACUGUCCCCCAAGCCCACUGUUGUGGAUACCUGGAAGCUCGGACCCGACGCGGGCCGCCGCUACGGGCUGUUGAACGGGGACCUGAACCCCAUCCACCUCCACCCGGCGACCUCAGCGCUGUUCGGGUUCAAGCGCCCUAUUGCACACGCGCUGUUCCUGACGGGUCGAGCUGAGGCAUCGCUGCGCAAAGCCGGUAAGUGACCGAGUGGUGAGGGGGUGGUUAGCGCGCGUGGUGAGCGGGUGGAUGGAUGGACGGCUGCUUUUACCAGGAAACAGGUCCUCCUGGUGUCUUAAUGGCCAAUUGUGGGUGACUGGGUGGCGGUGAUUUUCAAGUGUUGUUGGAGAUGUUUUUGUUGGUGCGAUACGCUGUGGCGUGUGGCCGGGAGUGAGUAAAAAGCGCGCAACUCCCGUUUUGUCACUUGAAGCGCAUGUCCUUAGGAACCUUGCGCCCUUCCCAAACCUCAACCGAGUGCGCUGCCCCUGGGACAACCGCCUUGCGUAUUACUUACUCGGCGCACCAUCACCACCGCAACCACUGCCUCACAACAGGACUGGAGCUGCACUACCCGUGCGCACUCACCGCGGAGUUCAAGCGUCCCACGCUGCUGCCUGCCACACUGCAUUGCGCCUGGCUGGGCGGAGCCUCCGGUCUAACUGCCGCCGCCAGCGGCCUUGGCGCCGCGGAGCUCGACAGCCGCGAGGGCGUCCGCUUCGUAGCUCUGUCCUCCGACCUGUCCAAGGAGGUUCUCGUCGGCCGGGUGAGCUGCAACCCGCAGGCUGUGGAUGAGGCACUGGCAGUCGAGGAACGCGGUCGAGGACGGUGAAAAGAGGACAAGGGCAACGGGAAAAGGCUUUCCACGGACGUGUUUUGAGUUCGUGCGCGGCGAGAGAGGAAGGGGAGGAUCUGCGGCGGAAAGGGCUGCCCCUGCCGGUUUGAUUAAAGAAAUAUGGGACUCGGGUUGUUUUGUUCCACUCCUGCUGCUGCUGUUGUGUUAGCCAUGUUGCUGCGCUUCGUUGCUGCGCUCUCUUGUUCAGCUGGUAUGGGGGAUUUGUUUUGGCUUAAGGGAGGGUUUAAAUUCUUGUUGUUUGUUGGAUAGCUGUCCGACAGCAAUUCGCUGACAGGAAACUGGAGUUGUUGCAGGGUUUGUUAGCGCCUGUUGUGAGGCUGCGUGUGAGAGGAAAAGUUAUGGGAAAUGAUGAUGCGAGUUGAUGGACGGCCGCGCAUUGGGGGGGGAAUAUGCGACCUUGUUACCUCUCAACCGCUGGAGAUUUGGCGUGUUGUGGAUUUGUCCGCAGAUAGGAAGUAUUCCUUCCACCAAGGGGGCCGGCAGGGGGGCUGAGGAAGGGAGAGAUGGUAGGGCUUAUGUGUGACAGUCGUACCAAGUUGUCGUACUUUUUGGAUGUUUUCGCAUCACAUUAGACUCACAGCUGCGUCUCUCAGCUGUAUAUAUGUUUACGCCGUGACGAUGUUCCGUGGCCGAAGCGCGGUGCUGGCGGUCGAUAGGGGUAUAGCAGGCAGGCAGGCAUCCAGCAGGAGGGCAGGGAAAAGCAGGAGCAUUGUUUGUUGACUGUCUUUUGACUGUCUUUCAAAAGUCGUACUUCCACCAUUUGAAAACAAUUGAAGAUGUUGUCCGUUGCUGUGUUCAACGCACCGAUUUGGGUUUGCUGGACAGAGUUGAGUUUACCGGUAAGAUGUGCUUUUCUCUUCCGAGGUUGUUGCCCUUUUGAAGUUGUUGACACCCAAGAUGUAAAAGUGCCGAAUUACUGGCCCCGCUGCGGCUGCGUUAAGAGUCAACACCAAUGCGUGGCAUGCUGUAUGAGGUAGACUAAGAGGUAGCGCCUCCCUAGCCUGCAGCAACCGGCUGUGGAAGUAGCAUCCACUUGAGCUAGGUCGGCGACACUUAUUUACUGUUUCCAGGGUAACCCUGCCUAUAUAUGCUAAAUACGCGGAAGGACGUGUAUUGGGGCCCCUCGACGAAACGACCCAAAAGUACACCACCAACAACACUUGCUGCUUCCUAAGAGGUGAUCAUACCGUCCAACGUACAGUUACAUCUGCGAGACACGCUUGUUCAGUUCUUCGUCGCUCUGAAGCUAUAAGACAAUCAGGCAGUUGCCUAGUGUUUCCAGCGACUCAACAGGCGCAAGAGCAUGUUUUCUAGCCCUAUGAUAGUUAUUACCCCUUAUGAACUUCGAUAAGGGAUCCUCAGGAGCCGACCGACGACCGCCAUUCAUCUGCACAGCAACGACGGGUGUCUGCCCUUCCAAAACCAAAGGCACGGCGGCCCCAAAACAGCUGGAGCACUCGAGAUCAGGAACGACGAGUAGGUAGCGGACGGCCGUUGCCAACCUGAACAUGGGGGUCCCUUAAAAAACAGAAAAUCAAGGCACAAACAUCAUCGAUCUGCACCAUCUGCAACUACAACACGUACAGCAAUACAGAGUAUCGAAGAAAGGGCGAAGGAAAAGAGCCAGCUGCGGAAAAGAGAUAAUCGGCCACAGAUACGGUACAUUUUCCCUGCUGUAUAUUCAGGCAACUAAGAAAAAGCACACAUCGUAUCUGGGCCGACGCAGAAGUAAAUCUACAUACCUUUGUAAGCGAGGAAAAGGGUUAACAGACAAGAGCGAAGGAUACCGAAAUAUUCAGCCUAAAGGGUAUUCCUUUGGAUUAUGCACCUAAGGGGGCCGCCGUGGCAAACAAACCUGCGCAACAAGCGCACGUGCCUCCUCUUCCACAAAAACCAACAAACAGUCUCGAGAGUGUCUAUAUCUACCUACCCCGUCACUUCACCACGGUACCCUCACGCCGCAGGCGCCCCCUAUUGCAGCGGCCACCUCACUAGCAACCAUUACCACAUAACUACUACCUCAACCAUGGGUGUGCGCGUUACACGCCGCUGCUUGCAAACAGCGCAAAGGCACGGCACCACCCGAAAAAAGCCUUGGUGAAAGGUUCCAAGCUGAAAACACGCCGGACCCCCAGUGCAACGGGCGUGCAAUUGCAAGGAGCAUGACCGUAAUGACCAUGACCAGUUCACAGGGUGGAGGGUGCAGCCCGACAGCCCCGAGGCAGGGAACCAAACACCACGUCACGUGGUUGCUUCAAUAAGGCCCCGGACACGAGCACGGCGGCAAAGCAUGUGCAGCGGCCCCUCAAGCCCUCAAGUGCCUCCAGGACCCUCAGUGCGGCACGCUCUCUCGUGGCACACGUAGCAAGACAACUUCUUAAAUGAGACGCGCUACCACCCAUCGGAGUCCAAAAGCCCCAAAUAGCGUCCUGUCAGUUCCUGAACCACCCCCAUUCUCAUCCCUCAAACCCCAUCCACGCAUCCCCAUUUUCUAAAGAGGGAGAGAGAGAGAGAGAGAGAGAGCGCUCCGGCUGCCACCAUGCGCUACCGCCGCGCGCCGCAACGGCGAAGCAGCUGGGAUGCUCUGCCCCGUGGCUGCCUCCCCGUGUCCUCCCCGCAGCAGCACCACGCAGCUUUAAGCCAGUCACUGGCCAUUCCUCUUCCAAGCUUGUCAGCGCCCACCACCACCAUCACCACCACCACCACCACAUUAAAGCACAGUAUAGCCUCCCGAAGCCACAUUCCGCCGACAUGCUAUUCGGAGGUCAGGUCGCAGGGCUCGUCCCUGGAUUGCCCCGUCCCCGGAGGGCCGGCGUCGGUAGACUUGGGGUUUCUGCGAGCGUGCUCCGCCCUGCCGUAGUAGGCGUCCAUGGGCCCCGUCAGCGCGUCGAUGGCCAAGCUGCCGCGCUGGUUUUGAGGCUUGCCGCCGCCGCGGCUGGCGGCAGCGGCGCCACCACGGCUGAGUGUCACACCCUUCGUGGACGAUGACGGCUUGCUGCUGCCACCAGCCUGCCCGGCUUUCCGGCUCUUGCUGCGACCCGUCGCGCUUUCGCUGCGGCGCCUUCGCGACCCCUCCGUAGGCUGCCGUCCCGCAGCCUGCUUGCCUCGGCCGGGCCCCUUGUGCUUCAUCGCCGAGACACUGCCCACCCGCCCAGACCCUGUGCCUCUGCCGUCCACAAAGGCAUCGCUGCUGUCUUCCUCCGUCGCAUCGCCUGGUCGCCAUUCCUCCACGAUAUCCACGCUGUCCUCUUCCUCUGGACUACCCUCUAGCCCCGCGCUCUCGUUCUCCGUCCCACGACCGGCCGGCCUCCCUCCAUCGGCGACGCCCUGCCCUGAAGACCCUCCUUCCCCUUGAGCCUGCGCACGCAGGUGCGGCUGUCCGCCUCCAUCGCCGCCGCCGCUGACCUGCUCGUCUUUACACGGUUCCUCGCGGGCCGCUUGGUUCUCUUCCAUAUCAUCUCCGAUGGAAAUGGUGAGUCCGCUAGCUUCCCCACCGCUGCCCGGGCUAAAAAGCAGGCUGUCGGAUGGCAUGGCUUCGACUGCACGUCCCCUUCCUAUCGAGCCGCAGGUAGCUGCCGCUGCGGCCGCUACAUCAGCGAAUGGCCUGCCCGCCACCUCUCUCGCAGCUGCCUGCCAAGCCGCUUCUGCUGCUCCUACCUCCGCACGAAUCAGCCCCUGAGCUGCCCCGGCCCCCUGCGCUCCCUGACGGCCAGCUGCAGCCGGUGGGUCACCUCUCUCAAAAGCUCCUUUUUCCGUGAGGUCCAAACGCGACACGCACUGCAUGGCGCCGGCUGCCGGCCUACAGCUGCUGCUCGGCCCACCCGGCCCGACGGCCGAUGCGGUGGUCGGGCCCUGUCCCUGAGCUGCAGCGGCCGCAGCACCUGCAGUGGGCCCGGCUGUCGGACCCGUCGGAGCGCCCGGAGUCUGCACUGCGGAGUCCGGGCGCGGAAAUAACACGCGGCCUAUCGCGGCCGCUUCGCUCACUGCUAGCAUGGUACAUGCAUUCGCGACUUCCCGCCAGCGCAGUGAUCGGAAGGCGUCCUCGGCCACCAAUGGGCCCGUUGCAUGUAGAGCUCCUCGCGUUGAAGCCGCAGCCUGCGUCUGCGUCUGCGUCUGCAUUUGCGUCUGUUGGGCAGGUGAAGCUGUUCCGGUGCCGUCGCGCUCUGUAAGGAUGUCGCUGGGGGUCCCCGGAAUCCCGCCAGGUGACAAUGCCUCGCCGCCCAGCGAUUGAGACGCCCCUGCCGCGUCGUCCGCCGUCAGUGAGCCACCGUACUCCACCAGCCUGAAAGCCUGGUCCUGCUGCAGCUGCUGCUGCUCCUGGGACCCCUCACCGCAAUCCAGCACCAGUACAAGCUGUGGGCUAAGGGUAGGGCUUUCUUCCCCCAGUUGCUCAGGCUGCGGCUGCGGCUGCGGCUGCGAGCCCUUGGGGCUUGUGGUGGCCGCGGUUGCCGUUGCGUAGGAGGCUACGGAAGCCCUUUCGCCGCCGCCCUGCUGUUGUAGUUCAGUCUGAGACUGCCAUUUCGGUUGAUUGUGAGGGCACCCUUCUGCAUGAGGCUGCCCAGGCCCUGCCCCCGCAUCCCCGCGCUCAGGGGGGAGUUGCUGCUGGCUGUCCAGGCUGUCCAGCUCUGACCGCCGCCGCCGCUUUCGGUCGCCCCCGGUGGGGCUGGGACCUGCAGCAACGCAAGUGUGUGGAUCCCCCCUGCUUGGGCCGGCCUCCUGCGGCUGGCAAGUGCAGCUUGUGCCCGCAUACAGGGCAGCCGGUGCAGGCUGUGUCGCGGUGGGCAGAGGUCCUUUGGUCACCGCAACUGUCUCCAGCUCCGGUCCGGGCAGGUGCCAAGGCACGCCGCCUGGCAGGGGUUGGGUUCCACGACCUGUGGUGGAACCCACCAGCGGAUGAAGCUCAGAUAGCAUCGCUGGCCUAGGAAGCCGCGGCUUGAGAGGUGCUUGGGCUGGUGGUGAGAGGGUGAGCAGGCGGCUCUACAGCGCAGGUGGUGUGCCUUUGCGUGAUCAACCACGAUUUCGGAAUUAUUAUGUUUUUUUCCUCAAGGGCCCUUCCUUCAAGUCUUCCUUCAAGAGUUGCAAGAGGACAUCAAUCGCCACCUGAGAGCCUUUUGCUGAACUCAACCGGUAGGUCACCACCGCCAUCAUCAUCGCACCCGGCAGGAGAAUUCCUUCCUCAAGACCCUUCCCCUUUGACCUGAAAGCGUGGGAUCGUAACUACACCUAAGCCCCAAAGCCGGUGCUCACUCGCGAAACCUUCUUCGGAGCCAGUGAAAAACGUCUUGUGGGACCCAAGCAGCCUCACUGCACUUGCUUACCUAGUUCCGAGGUUCUCCACCUCUUUUUCACCUUGUCUGCCUCCUGCCUAAUUCUGUUCACACCUGUGUGCGUGCGUGUGUGCGUGUCGAGCGGGAGAGCGGAAUUGGCGGACAGAGGGAAGGGUAGGUGCUUUCUGUAAAACGCAGGCGCAAUGAAAGGAGCACAAACUGCAGGGAGCACCGAGGCAAGAGAACCAAAGAGAAGACAACAAGUAUGCAGUGCUGCGAAGCCCGUGCUUUCGAGAUGUUUCCAUCGAGCCAAAUACACACAUGUACUGGCCGCGUGCUCAAAAUACCCUUAUGCUUUUCAUCUGAUAUCCUUCUGCCAACGGAGCGCAGCGGAAACGUAAAACCAAGAAACGCGGGUGGUAUCACUGCGCCGCAUUGUCGUGUGCAAGGACAGCGCACGGACCACCACACACACACAGACCCGCGCGCCCCGUCCCAACUCACCCGCUUUCGCUGCCUGCGGCGGCCGAGGAGUAUCUGCCCAGCCCUGCAGGUGCUGCUCAGCGCCACCACCGAAUGACGCUGGCCUGUGGACGCUGACAGCAUGCCCAUCAGUUGUGCGGCCCUGCGACUCGUCCCCUGCCCAGCUCGGCGCCUCAGACGCCUGGUUACGAACACCACCGUUCAGGUCUUUAUGACGAUGCGAAGCUGCUGCAGGCAGAUCUGCAACGGCGGUGCGAGCCGUGCGGGUGUUUGGAUAGACCGGCUUAAGUAAGCCCAUUGGCAGCACACGCUGCUGCUGCCACUGCUGUUGCAGCUGCGGCGGCAAGAAAGGCGGCAAUGACUGCGGGUUCCAUCCACAAAGCUGCGUGUCGACGAAGCUCUCCCGCUGAUGCGAGACGGCGCUGCCGGAGGGCUGAGGAAGGGCUGAGGAAGCGGCGCCGUGCGACGUUGUCCCUACGUCACCGCCGUGGCUAAAUCCCUGGGACCCUGAGCCCACGCCCUCCUCCCCCAUCAGCGCCGGCAAUGCGUGAAUCAUCCGCGCCAGGCUGCCCACUGGGCCCGCCUGGUGUGUCUGAGGCACAUGCGGGUCACCAGUGUGGUGCUGGUGCUGACGCUGGUAAACGUGGUCGUGCGGCUGCUGCUGCGGCGGCGGCGGCGGCGGCGGCGGCUGCUGUUGGUGGGAUCCCUGGGCUCCAUGUGCCUGCGAGCCGUUGGCUGGACGGCUCAGGUCAGGGACCUGGGUGCCGUGGGCGGUGAGCCUCUUCGAGGACAGAGGAGGGGACUCCUGCGCGGACCACCGCAUGGAGGUUGAGGCAUGGGCUCCCCGAGUCGGUGGGUAGUCCAGGUUAGCGGACAAAUCAUCAGCGUAUGGGCCGUCCUCCACCUCCUCCACCUCCUCCUCCUCAUCAUCAUCAUCGUCCACAUCACGGCGAGAGAUGGCCUUGGCGUCCACGUGCUCGCGAGCACCGGAGACGUCAAGCGGUCGAGCGGCUGAUGCUGACGCAGCCACCACUUCCAAAGGCUGACGGGCUGUAUGAGCGUGAGUAUGAGUAUGAGUAGUAGCAGUGGCUGCAGCAGCGCCUUUUACAUCAGCAGACGCCGCAGCUCGCGUCGCAGUGGCGGCAGCUCCUGCACCGGUAAUUGCUGCUGCACCGGCAAUGGUAACCGCAGCAGCCGCAGCAGCAGCGUGCGCGGCUCUCGGCCGCGACAAGUGCUUCUGCGCGAAGCGUGACACCAUCAGAGCUGGCUUCCUGCACGCGGUGAAGGGAGUAGCGACGGCGGGGCCAGGUGCUAUGUGCUCCGCGAUCGGCUGAUGCGCCUGGGUCGCAAUGCCGGGUGUGGGUACAUCUCGGUUGGAAGCCACCACCUGCUCGCUCAAUUGGCCGUUACUCAUUGGCUGUUCCUGCUGCUGCUGGUGGGUUACUGGAAGCGUGCAGCGGCCCUGCGGGGUUCCCUGCAGUGCGCCAUCGACAGCAGCAUCAAUGGCUGCCUGUGAGUCGCCCACACCAACCACACUAACUUGCCAGUGUGCGGACGACUCCAUUGCAGGAGGAUACGCAGACAUUGCGGCAUCCUCCUCACCGCAGCGCCUUCGCUUUGCACGGUCCGGGUUGUUAUCACUGUCCGAGUCCUCUAUGCUGUACGCCUCAAGCUGAGGCUGCGGCUGAGGCUGCUGUGCAGCGCCGGUGUGGGGCCGGGGCGGCGGUGGCGACGGCGGCGGUGAUGGCGGCGGUGCCUACACGUAAAGAACAGGCCGUAGACGGCGCAGCGCAGGACUAAUUCGCGACGGAUUCGGACUUGAGCAAAGUGAGCAACAAGUUCGAGGCACUGAAAGCAAGAGCUUUGCUGCGUGAAAGAGAGAGCGCCGCGAAGCCAGAGGUGGAAAGUUACACGCGGCAACUGUCGCUUAACGCGCGGUCUGGUAUAUAUGCGACGGCACUGCUGCACUGCAUUGUAAACAAUUGAGGUCCCAAAACGUUCCCAGCGAGGGACCACGCGUCUCAACUGCGCUCUGUAAACAUGCAAAACAGCCCACAAAAGCUGUUGAAAUGGUCGCAAGGCGUCACGCACUGUACAUAUAUAUGUGUGUGCUGUGUGCUAUAUAUAUAUAUAUAUAGCUGUGCUGUGAAUAACCAUGCAGUGUGACAGCCGGUCAGGUAAGUGCUUCAUAAUCAGUUAGUUAGGUUAUAUAACCAUGCAACACGCCCAUGGCCGGGAUCGUGCCAGGGCCAGGCCGUUCCCAAGGACUUUUUCCUGAACACGAUGGCACCGUGCCAGCCAAAAACGUUCCACUCAAACGUAACGCAACAGCUCAACGCCCAAUAAGGCAACAUCAUCCUAAUUUGUUUCCCAACGAGGGGAACCACCGAGCCAACUCAGAAAAGCCAUGUACUGCUGGCGGUAGCCGCCAUGAACUACACUGUCGCGGAGCACUCCUAAAGACUCCCUACCCCCCGAAGAAUCGGUGCACCGCGCGUCAACGGGUAGACGCGCCCGUACAUGCGCCCGUACUUGCAAGGUGCGAGACAGAGGUUACCAGACUGAGAGAAAGUGUGUGUGUUGUAUGGGGGUUUCAGACCAUCCGCUAUUGCCAACAGACCUCCCUCCACCUAGCCGCGCGCACCUCUUCAGGGCGGAUGGGAACCAUUUUGGUGAUCGGCUCCGCACCAUCAUCCGGAAAACGUGUGUGCUUGCGGCAGGGCCCCCCCAGCGUCGCGCCUUGGCCUCGUGCCGGCGGCCCAGCAGCCCCAGCAGCGUCGGCGACUGGCCCGCAUCCAGCUCGCUGUGGCUUCUGCUGCGGAUCCGGGGGGUGGGGCUUCACGCGCCCUCCUGGUUCACGUCCUCGAUCCGCAACCGACUGCAGAGCGCCUCGCUCAUCUUCGCUGCCUGAGCUGCUCUCAUGACCACCACUACCACCACCACCGCCACCACCACCACCAGCGCUGAGGUUAAACCUGGCUUGAUGCUCUAGCAACCAUGCCGGAUCUUGGUUGAUGUCGUCCUCGCCAAUGUCCUCACUGUCCCCAAGGACCAAACCGUUGAUGGGCGGCUGCUCGACCUGGGCGUGGCUUGCCACCCCAGUAUCCUCGGUUUGUAGCCCGCGUCGGUAUCCGCCGGGUGGAGGAGCGGUUCCGCCAGGCGCCUCAGGACCCCUCUUAACCUUGCGGCAGAACUUCUUUGUCCUGGAUCCGCCGCUGGCCCCUCCUCCUUCAUCCGGAGCACCAGAGUCAGGGCACGGCAGCUCUCCUCGGACCCCCCCGGGUGGUGCUGCCGCCACCGGCUGCGCUGCGAUGGCCGCCGCCGCCGCACCGUGCUUGGGGAGCGCCUCCGGGUCCUCCUGUGAGGGCGGCACAUCCUGACCUGCUACCUUCUGGCCAUCUGCGCCAACAUCAUCUACGGACCCAGAAGGAGGCGCCCCGUGCAGGUCCCCCUGCUUGCAUCCUCGUCCCGUGCUCCAGCGGCUACGCGGUCGCCGAGGCGGCGAGUCCUUGUCCUCAUCACUCGAGCUCGCCCCCAGGUCCUCUACCUCCACCUCCACCUUUGCUGCAGCGCCACGGCCCGUUGUUGCUGGUACUGUGGAAGGAAUACACCAAGACAAGAUGGAAUGCAGGCGAGGGUAAAAAGCAUCUCAAGCCCUCUGAUCAGCUUAACUGAGGACCUGACUGACUUAGGACCUGGUGUGAUCAUGGAACUAUUGCCAAUGCAACAAACACAGACGGAAGUGCAUUCGGAGACCAGCCGAGCACCAGCAACCCCAACGGGCUGCAACCGGGCUCGUCAUCGACAUCGUUCCUUUCCGGCAACAGUAUGGACAUAUGGCGGGCGCAACAACUUGAGCUGCAGCCCCCGGAAGAUCUCGAAACAGUGAUCUCGAAAAGUGGCUGUAUACCACUUUGAAGCAGCGCUCGACGGGGAAUAUAACAUACCAAUAAUAUAAAUAUACUUCGUGCAUUCCCGCCCUCACCUUGUGCCAGUGUCUCAGGCACCGCCUCCGCCAGGAGCCUGGGCCGCUUGGCCGCGGGUUGGUCGUCAGACCUGCACAAGGGAGGACGAAAGGCAGUUGCCCGUCCUACCUGAGAAGAAAUCGGAAGCACUGGCGGCUCCACACCAUGACCCGUCCUUACCAUGACCCGACGUACCAAGGACCCACCCCGGACGAUUCUCGCAAUUUGCCCCAGCAGUAGGCAACUCAUUUACCACCUCUCCUACGCAGCUUUCGAUACUUACAGGACAGCCAAAGCAAGUACACCUUUUUGCAUUCAAACGACCCCUUAACACUCCUUGUGCCUUACCGAGCCUCGCCGCCGCUAGCGGGCCCAUGGCUGACGGCCACCAGCUCCACACCCUCGUCGUCCUCAUGCUCCUCGUCCUCAAUCUCCAUGGACUCCGCCUUCGCCCGUGCAAUCGGAGGCGCCUCGCCGGCCUGGGGGCCCGCCGCAGCAGCCGUGCUGCCGCCAGCCGGCGCCUGCUCUGUCGGGCCUGCCAUCACCGCCGCUGUCGCCCGGGGGACAUCCCCGACCUUGUCGGGGGUGGACAGGUCGACCACGGACUCCGGGUUGGUCGCGGGGCCGGGAGGCUGUGACGGGGGUGCGGGUGCAGCUUCGCUGGCGGCGGAGCCCUGCGCGCGGAGGACGCCGGAUAGGACGCCAAGUGAUCGCAUGGCCCCUGCAGUGGUUGCGGUUGCGCUGCCGAAAAGGCUGCCGGUGACCGCCCCAAUGCCGGUAAGUACCGCUGAAAGCACCCACGAUACGCCCUGUGCGCCAGCCACACGGAGGGCCGUCGGGACGGGCGACGCCGUGGCUCCCAGCAGCAGCUCCCCUUGCCAGGCUGCGUGGCUUAGCGUAAUAAUAAAAGGCUAGCCGGUUCCAGAAUGUAAGUCACACUGCUCCCCACCAGUGGCCUCCCAGUUCAGGCCGUUCUCACCCUACCUUGCGUCGGCGAUUGCCUGAGGUUGGAAGUGCGGCGGCGGGCGCAACGCCAGCCUGCUUCGCAGCCAGCCGCGUCAUGUGACGCGUCGGGUUCUGGAGAACGACAACGGGGUCCUCCAUAUGGCCCUACGUGCGAGAGGAGCGAGCGAGGAAUAGAAAAUGUGGGCAAGGCGUACAUACAUACAUACAUGCGGAACACAAGCCGUGACCUGCGUGCUUGCUUCUUGCCACUGGCGGAGGGCGGAGGGUCACAAUGCGCCUGCCAGUUCCCCUUGCAAAAACGGCAGCGAGCAUGUGCCCUCCCCGCCGCCGCUUUCUGAGAAUAGAACCAUGAAGGCCAUGAAGGGACAGGCCAAGACAAGACAAGACAAGACAAGCAAGCCACCAUGCAGGGUGGCUUGCCAACCCACGUUGACGCGCACGCACGCACCUCAUGGUCCGACUCGUUGGAGAGGACGCCAUCGUCCAGGAUAGGCCAUGGCUCAUUGGGCCGCAUCGUCACGUACUUUAGAUACUCCUCGGGCUGCAGGUACCGCUGGCCCAUCCUGCAAGCAGCGCAUGUUCAGUGGCGCAUGUUCAGUGGUUCAGAUGCAUGAGGAUGUUAAAGUAAGCGACAUGCAGAACACACACACACAUAUACACACACACGGCGAUGUCGCCCCGGUCAAAUCGUCGUGCGUGAACGUUGUGCGUGAACGUUGUGCGUGAACGUUGUGCAAUCCAUCGCCACGCGCAUACUUCAAUCCAGCCGUCACUCGCAGCAACCUCUCGCCAUCUACAUCAUUGCUCGACUUCCACAUCGCACAGUAGCUGGCAUCCCCCGCGGCAUUGCACAGUAGCUGGCUAUGCUAACCUCCCAUCGGCGUUAGCCCUUUGCAUACAUCGGCUACCAGAUCCAAGGUCAAUACUGCCGGAUAAGUUACACCAAUACGUCAUAAUGCUGGAAGAUAGAGGAUAAAAAUAAGAGGCUGCAAAAUAAUAAAAAGGUUGAACCUAAAGCAAGGUGAGAGCCACGCAUCCCAACUCAUCUCCUGCCAGGCUUCUUCUCAUCUCCGCACCGCCCUCCAGAGAGGUAAAUUGCUUUCACCUGGCACUGCACACAGCCAUGACGGUGGCGACGGCGCGCAGCCCACCACCCUAACCAGCACACUUACUCGUGGGGCUUCUCAGCGUAUGAGUUCACAACGCACUCGAGCGUCUUGAAGCGCUGAUCUUCCGCCGGUACGCACUCCAGCAUGAGCUUGCAGACGAGCGCCCGCAAGUGGUCGCGCAGCCGCGCGGCGUUGCAUUUGUGGAACCAGUUCUUCUGCAGCAGCGUGGCUGCGUUGGCCGCAUCCGACCGGGGGUCCAGGGCGUGCACGUCUGCAUCCGCAAGCAGGUUUGCAAGCGCCGCAGGCCUCUUGAGUAAUAAAGGGUAAAACCGCUUACAGACUCGCGGAAGGGACCGCGGCUGACACGUCUCAAGAGAGAGACUGAGGAAGCGCGCGGUUACCUGUGCGUACGAACACUUUUUGGUCGCAAUGAACAAGGAAAGUGGCGGUGUUGGCGCGGAGUAGCGGAGAAUAUGCAGACACAGGUGCUGGAAAGAAGCCAGUCACGACACUUGAUGCAAGGGGAACGGGUCUUAAAACCCAAGGGGUAACAGCACCGGUUUGGUAUUGCUAACGCCACACAUGUAGGCAUAUCGUCAGUCCUGAUUAUAUGGCCAUCACGUGAAACGAGUUUCCUAACAGGGGCCAGGGAGCUGGGAAACGCCGGCACCAGGUAAUUACCAAACCAGGGGAACCAUGCGCCGCCAGGGACUGCAGGCCGCCCUGCAACUGUGCGGUUGCGCCUAGAGUACUGCCGCCCUCUUUGCAGGGUAAUGGACAUAAAUAGGAUUUUUGAGGUGAGUUCAGGAGCUCAGGAUGACGACUACGGAAAUCGGAAUCCCUGCCGGCGCACUUCGAUGCACCUACUCUGAGCGUUGCUUCCCUCGCUGACGAUGCAUCGGGGGUUGGCGGCCACGAAGAAGUCGACGUAAGACAGCAGGAACAGGCCGCAAUCCGUAUGGUUGUCCUGCUUCGGCAGCCGGGCCGCCAUGCUGAGGCCCGGCAGCGUCUGCAGCGUGAAACGCACUUCCGGCACAUCCCGGCCAGCAGCCAGGAACCGUGCCUUCCACCGCCGCGGAACCGAAUCCUGCGUCUCGUCCUCCAUAUUCCUCCGCCACUCGUGCUCCAAAUAGCUGCGCAGCGCCUCGAAGAUAGCCUUCGGAGCGUGGUUGCCUGCGUAGUGCGCAUAAAGGGAUGACAGUGUUGAAUAAGUAAACGGGAUAAAGGGGACUCAGCUUUUUUUCAGGCUGAUACACGUGGCAUAACGGAAGCGGGAAGCGGUGUUGAUGAAGCACCUCUGUUAAAGGCCCGGCUCCCUGCUGACCGAUAUAUUGCUACAAUAGCUGUUAAGUGAGCCAUUCCACUCUCAAAAGCUGGGAAUUCUUUUUUAUCAUGAUCCAAAUGUGCAACACUUCAUCACAUGAAACGGUUUUAGAGUCCAAUCAGACCCGUCCCCAACACCGGCUUCAGCUGACCGUGGUGGCAAAUAUCGCCAGGCGCCCCAAACUACUUCAUUGUCACAUAGCACCACACGACCCCGCGUGUGUGCUUUUUGUGUGUGUGUGUGUGUGUUGUUCGCGCCAAGUGCCUUACCGUCCAGCGAGUCCAGGUGCAGCAGCAGCGGCGUGCCGGCGCCCCCCCCUUCAUCCCGGGAGCCCUCCGGACCCCCCUCAGGUGGCCGCAGGUGAUCCGCCUGCUGCACCACGUUGCCCGGGUGGCAGAUCAGCACCAACGACCAGUGCAGGGUGCCGUGGAUGGGCACGAAGAUGAAGUCCUUGGAGAACAGGUCCACGUGCUGGUGUUAAAAGUCAAUCGCCGGUGUGGAGUUGAGAGGGGCAACGGGAGCCAAGCAGGAUGAGCGGGACGCGAACACGGUGUUUAACUGCCGUUGUGCAGUAGUAGUAGUAGUUUCAUUAGGACGUUAGGGAGGGGAUGACGACUGACCCCUCUUCGGGUUCCCUUCAUCCUCUAAGGUUCUUCUUCGUCAUCCUCCAAAGGUCUGUGUCCCCUUCGAACGGGGGACCAGAAGUAAGAACGACAGGCACGGCACGCCACGCCACGGGUAUCUUCCAGCGGGAAUGUGGCUCGGCGCAUUAAUGAAUGGAGCACAGGGGCUUCACAAGGGCAUGGGAGUCGCGGGAAAGGGUUAUUCCUAUUCCCCUUCUCUGCACAUAUAGAAACACAUUCAGAGAGAUCCGCAUCAGCGUCAUGUCACACCAACCAGCUUUGCGGGCCUGCAGACGCCGAACCAUUUGAUUAACACGGAGCUGUGCUACAAACCCACCCGGUUGGCGCACUUGGUUGGGUACCUUUGCGUUAGUGGCCAGAUGCACUCCUUGGCACAACUGCAGCCCACGAGAGCUGUUGAGUGUGAACAGCUAGUACCCUAGACCCAACUACUUGGUAUCGUUACCUUGGUCCACUUUUUAACACGCUCGUGGUCCAGCUUCAAGCGCUCAGCCUUGGACAGCUUCACGCCCUUGGCCGGCUUCUCCUGUAACUUCUUGAGGAAGAACGAGUUAAAGAAGUGGUACCGCCGCCGAAUUUCGGUUUGCAGGUGAGCUUCAAUGUACCUGCAAGGCAUCAUGACGGUGCGCACGUGUGUAUGACAAGCAGAGUGAGAACGGGCACAGCUCCAUAAAACAACCCACUGUGGGACGGUAGCAGCACAGCAGCACAGCAGCACAACAGCACAUCAGUGUAUUGAUGCGCUGACCUGCAGGACCGAGGGCUCUGCUGUCAUCAUCCCGCCAUGACGCCAACAACAGCCCGCCACGGCCCACAUUUGCUACGGCGCUUGCCAGUGCCUGAUACCCUGAUAUUCCUGUUGUGUGGCUGCUCUGAGUCCGAUUAGGUACUACUCACUCGCUCGUUACCCAAACCCAACGGAUGACUGACUUUCCGUGAGCGGCCUAACGGCCCAACCACCCUGGACCCCAUGGAACGGCUACCGCACUCACUUCAAGUAAAAGUCAAUGCAGGUGUCGUUCAAGAACUCGCCACUGUCCAGCCGUGCCAAGUCCUCCGCGAACACCUGCACGCUGUGCUUGCCGCCUUCUUUCGGAAAGCAGCACUUGAGCCCGGCUACCUGGGCUGAUAGCUUGUCGAACUUGUUCUUCUGGCCGCGUCCGGACAGCCCCGUUGCUGCGGCUGUCGAUGCUGCUGCUGCUGCUGCUGCUGAGGACGGACCGGGGCCUGCCUCGCUACCGGUCUUGACGCGCUGGGCAGCAUCCGCGUUAGCACCACCGUCGUCAUCGCUGCUGUCCACCAGGUCAAUCUGCAUGGAAGAAAAGGAACGAGCAAAAGACGAGCGCAGCAAAGAUGUGUUUUGCAAAGUCAAUGCCAGGUGCAACGCGGUUCUUUGCACCUUGCGCCGCCUAAAAAAAUUGGAUCCAUGUGGACAAAUAUAAAGCUGGGCAAGCCACAUGCGGCAGAAUGACACCUUCGUUGCCCCAGGAACUUCAAACGCGACAUCAGCGCACCUUUCAAUGUUAACCUAUGGAUUGCAAACCCAGGGCAUAUGCCUUCAAGCCAGCUCGGGUUCAAGAAAGCACAGGGUUCAAACUUGUCAGCCAUAAAAUGCCGACCCAAUCCGGUGUUACCCGAUGGGAACACAACUCCCAUAAGAGGCUUUUAACGGACGGCCCUGCGCCAGUAACACUCCCACCUGCAUCUUGUCUUCAGGCUCGACUGGCGCCGAGCGCCGGCCGCGCGCCUUCGCAGCGCCUGCUGUCCGCCUCCCCAACUGCGAGGGCUCCUCGUCCGCAGCGUCUGAAACCGAACGCCUGAAGACAGGCUGCUGCUGUUGCUGCUGCUGCUGCUGUUGCUGCUGCUGCUGCUGCUGCUGCAGGAGUAGUAGCUGCUGGCCGCGUCUCGUCCUGCUGGCCGCCUGCUGCUCCUCCUGCGCUGCGGCUGCGGCUGCCGGCACAACCGCCGCACUGACAAUUGGCGCUCUCAAAUCAAGACCGCGACCACCGGUGUUGCCGCCAUCGCCGGACCCGUAGAAAGAGCUUUGUUGCAUAGGCCGCGGGUUGGCCAACCGGUUGAAAGACGGACCAGCAGUAGAUAACCCCCGCAGUGGCUGAUGUUUGAGCGUGGGCGCCUGCACCAGUACACACAUGGGUCGCAGUAUGGGGGGUAAGCCGCAGCCGCAGCCGCAGCCACAGCCACAGCCACAGCCAGGGUUACAUAGGCCCUGCGUUGGUGAGUAAUGCCUGCUCAAGGCACGAAGGGUCAGCACUUGCCGAAAGGCCCUACCUACUUGGCCUUGGUGCCUACAUAAUCGGAAGAUCGAACAGUCCGAGAGCCCCGACAUGGCGACAGCCGCCACGGCCAGUGAUAUUACCUCCCAGCGGGAUUCCUACCUGCAUAUGCAUAGAGGCCGCCUGGCCGGUCUGGGCAACCUGGCGGCAUUGCUGGCACGUCAGGUUGUCCUACAACGCAGAUGGGAGACGCACGCAGAGGUAAAUGGCAAAAUGGCCGACGAAACGCCGUAUGCUAUUCAUUACACGGCAACACGUGGCAUAGUCAUCACCAGGCUUACCCCGGGGCGCAUGGGGCCAAUUAAGGUAAUGGGCUUGUUGCAGAAACUGCAUUUCCUGCGUACACCGUGCACGUUGGUUUAGUAAGCUUUUUUUGCUUAGAAAGGCCGUCCCGAGUAGUCUCACGCAAGUCGUGUAAUUCUCACCGCGGCUGCUGUUGCCCAUGGCCGCGAGCCGCAGUCGCGGGCUGGCCUGGCCCUGCACCAUAUUUGUCCGGGCACGGAGAGUCAGCUGCUACUGCUGGCACCAUCACAACGUGUCUGUGAGGACAUUUGGUGCCAUGUGUGCGCAGCAGUAAUAACCUAAUGUGCAAGAGCGCAAUACUCAUGCUUUGAGUGCUGCAGCAGCAGCAGCAGCAGCAGCAGCAGCAGCACGAAGGCCGCACUGCUAGCCCACUUGAAGGGGGUUUACCUACCUGCAGCCACCUGCACUGCCGCCCGCGUGCUGACGUUUUGGAGUGAAGGCUGUUGGCUGGACCCUGAAAUAGACACCACAUGGUUGCAUUUCCGUAAGGCCGUGAAGGAUCUAACCGAAGAGACCCUACGGUAACCCAACAAGCAAACGUGCAAACAAGUCCGGCUUACUCAGAUGCCGCUGCAGGUGCCGUGCACCAAUGGUGUUUCCCUGGGGGUGGGAGGGAAAUGGGGACAGAUUCGUUAUGAUAAUUGAGUAUGGGGGGUUGAGAAAUCACGUCAUUCCACUUCACGCACGCACCCCCCCACCUGUACCGGGCGCGUGAGUUGCGGGACGUGAGCCUGGAUGUGCGGCUGCUGAGAUACAGGCACGGCAGCAGCGUCUGCCGUGUACCCAUGGCCUGUAUCCUGGGUCUCCUUGACCUGCACAGUUUGUUGGGACAGCUUGAGGUAGGGGCAUGAACCGCUGCCUCCCGCCGGCGAGGCCGGGUUUGCUCACCAGGGGCCCAUCCAGUUGCCGCCACCGUAGCUCUACCGCAAGAGGCCUGAGCUGGGCUUCUAGUCUACUUGGAUCACCAGUAAAUUUUUUAUAAGUCGAGGUCAAAGCGUUGAGUCUUUUCUCAAGUUCGGCUUGCGAAAACUCCGGAAAACACCGCUCGGUCGGCAAAUCAUCUCGAGCCGACUUAAGAAUCGCCUCUACGAAAGGUGGGUACUGUUGUUUCCUAAUAGUAUCCGUUGUGCUGCUCGGCUGGAGAGCCAUUUUCCAAAGCCGAAGCCGCAGAUAGGUCCGUCCGGUACCCUUUGCACAUGCUAUGAAAUGGUAAUAUGAACAGUAGUUCAGACUGCCCAAAGAUAAGGUCCAUGGACAGGCAGAGAGGGGGGCACCAAUGAUGCCCGAACGACUGAAUUGCCUGAAUGCAUAAGGGCACCUAGAAGUAUGAUUGGUUGCACGAUUCGGCUCAUCACCUGCGCCUCAGCUUGGUUCAAAAGUAAUCAGUGAAAGGCACAACACACUGCGGCAGCCAUCAUCCGUGAAAAAAGAAUUUAACAAACUAAUGGAAAUUGUGCUAUUAAGUCUUGCAUUCGAUGAGCGCUUUCUGCCAUGCGCCAUGCUUCGCGUGCUUCGCUUCCACAGCUCGUACGGCACCAUCAGAUGCGGACUUGCCUGUAUGUGCGCUGGAGCAGGGCAAGCAGGGUUUGCAUCACAACUGCCAACCUAUAUGACAGGCUUACCAUACAUAUUGAAAUCUGGCAUACCCAAAGCAAAUGAAGAUGUCUUGGAGCCUGGGGCGGUUCUGAACAGAUUCAUCGGUAUAUAACAGACAGUGUGCCCUCUAGUCACCAUAAUAUUCGCGCCUCACGGAAGUAACUUCAACCUGGCGUUCUCCUUUUUGUUUCCAUGAGACUGAGCACAUGGAGCUGCGUGACAGCCAAGCCAGACAUCGCACCAUAACAGGAUGUAAUGUGGCUUCCUUCGGAGAUUAAAUUAUCGUGCCAUAUGUGAAAGGGAUUGGACCGCUCUUUAACAGUUUGGAAGUUGAAGCUGACUCUAGUUGCCAUGACAAAUUUCUUCAAGUUCAACGUGGACUUACAUAGUUCACAAAAUUUUCAGCUUGAAUAGUCAUGCCAUGCUAUAACGUCAUUGAUUUGCAAAGAGGCGUAUCAUCAAAACACAGCACCGUCCUCUGUGCGAACAAACACAAAGCACCUAGUUGUGCGCCUCUCCCAUUCCCUGCACGAAAUCGGUACCAGGCUAACGUGGAGACAGGGAAAGGGAUCCAAGGAGUCAAGGCAAAACCUUCCCGGCACUGGAUACCGGCCUACGUGUGGCGCACGAUACCUAUUCCUUCCUAUCUAAGGAACCGGAUAUACACCCGAACCCUUCAAGCUCAAACCCCCACGCCAUACGUGCCCAAAACCCAAACCCAAGAGGCACACUGAACACAAUGCAGACAAAUCCGAGCCCGAACAGGACGCCAGUACUCUAUUAACUCUUCACUGAACUGGAACCUGAACCCGACAUAAAUAAAAAACACACGUAGACAUAUACGGCACAGGCACCAUCGGCAGGUGGCUGGCAGAGGUUAAGGCCUGACUUCUGCUCCCAGAGAAUCCGUGUUCAAAUCCGUCUGCCGACCCCUCGGAUGAGGAUCAUGACCGACCGUUACUGUAGUUCGCUUGUUGCACCUGAGGCAGACGGACGUUUUACAGUCAUAUGUCGGUGCUGUCAUAUGGAGGAGGUUCCUGCAUGGCUGUUGCUGUGGGUAGUGAUGGUGGGCGGCCAGGGAAAAGUGCUGUUGGUCGUUGUCAUUACACGGGGGGUGAGGGAGGAGGAGGCUGAUAUGGAAGACGACGGGGCGGAUGCAGCCGAGGGAGGCUGGGAGGUCGAGACAUACACAGUAUGUGACAGGCGGCUGCCAACCACUCACUGCUUUUUUGAAGCCCAAACACAUGUGGCAAAAUGAACACAGAGCCGAUUUGCCCAAGCGGUGCGAUCCACAUCCUCGGUGAUGGAGUUGAAGCGGGGGCCUUGCCGUGAUGGCUGUGCUGUGUUGACCGGCAGAGCCAUGAAACAGGGAGAGGGAGCAGCCGGUCGGGACCCGGUGGAGUCCUGGAUUGGAUUGCUUUCACAGCGCAGCAGCGGCAGCAGCCAGUUCAGAGAGUCGUCAUCAUCAUCAUCAUCGUCAUCGUCCUCUCUCAUGGCGCCCACCACCACCCUGCCCCCCUCUGAGGUCGAAAGUCCGCCAUCUCCGCAGUCUCCGCAGCCUCCCCACCAACCACCCUACAUUGCUCCCGACCUUUGUCCCAUCCAUAUCGACCGAGCUGUACCGGGCCCCCAUGGCAUCAAGAUGAUCGGCGUCCCUUACAGUUUGCACAUGCAGCGUAUGGCACACCACUUCUGCCGGCACUAUGCGGUGAUGGACUCACACAUGAAGGAGCACUGCCACACUAUACUCUGCUGCGUCCUCCAUGGCCCCGCCGCCGCUUGGCCCCUAACGUCAUAUCCUUUCAGAGGACGCAACAGCCGCUGCUGCCAGCCCUCCUCCCGUUCACCCUCCCCAGCUCCUCUGCCACUGCUAUUCCGACGACCGACCACCGCUAGCUCCGAAAUCACGACAAAUUACGCGACAAGCUCCAACAAAGAUCGUCAACCGCUCCAAAACACUGCACUAUGCAUCGUGCAAAUUACGAGCCCGAUUAUAAACUAGGAGCUCAUUAUUUGCAGUUUGCCUGAAGGAAAGUGUCACAACUGACAAAAAGGCAGACUGGCUAGCAAAGUCGGUCACCAAUUGAAAUCAGCAGUGAAUCACCUCGCACUCGCAACUCGCACACUGCGCGGCUAAGGGUCACUAAAAGAUAUCGUUGUCUUUCUCCUGCACCGUCAGCGCCCACAUCACCACCGUUACGUGGUUUACAUAAACUGGACAUCUGCGCUGGUAAACAUCUUUCCCUCGUUACAAGCCCAACCAAACCCCGCACGCGCAUCCCGAAGAUAAAAAGCUCUCUCACCCCUUGCCACCUAACCCUCACCUCCCUAGCAGCUCCAGCUCUCUAUUCGCAGCGUCACGCGCAAAGCCGGCUCUCUCCAGCUCCACCUACCCACACCCAACAGGUGACUCCUUCCCUAUAUUGACAUAUGGUCGUUUUCCGUCGGCCUCAUCUGGUCAGGCGCCCUAUCCGUUUGGGCAAGCGCAGCAGCAGCAGCAGCAACAGCAGCAGUAGCAGCAGCAACAGCAGCAGUAGCAGCAGCAACAGCAGCAGCAGCAGCAGUAGCAGCUCCUUCCGAAGACGCUCAGGAAACCGCGAGCUUUCAAGUCACGGCGCGGAUGCUGAUGUUGAUGCGGGCGCUGCGGAUGUAGCCCUGGAUGAAGUCCACGCCGUCAAAGGUUCCCCCCUGUCCAUCCCAGCAGCCUUCCUGCGCGCGGAAGCCGCCACUGCCGUUGCAACAGCCGCCGCCGUCACCAUCAUCACCGCCACAGCCACCGACAUUUACGCGGGGGUAAUUUGCCUCCAGGAUGCGCGGCACACCUGCACAUGUGUGCAUGUGUAGAAGGAGGUGUAGAAGGAGGGAGGGAGGGAGGGUUUUGCGCAAGCGCGAACAUUUACAUUGAACAAACACACAGACACACACAGACGCACACAGACACACACAUACCAGAUUGAACACAUCUCACCAUGAGUCUCGACGUAAGUGCUCUCGCGGUACACAGCGGUACACAGCUGUCCAACUUCCUCUAAAAAGGAAUGCAAUUAUCCAAAGGCGUAGCCGUCACCCGGACGCUACGUCGCAGAUGGGCACCGUUUGCAGCAGCUCUGUAUACAAACGACCUGAUAACCCCCGUGCGGAGUCCAAUCUCGCCCUCUCGCUAGUUCAUCUUCCCUUCUCCCCCUCCCGAACCCCCCUCUCAUCCAUCCGCCUCAACUCAAUACAAACAUACAGACAACAAUACAUGGCAGGCGAGUGGCAGAGGUUAAGGCCUGGCUUCUGCUCCCGGCGCGUCCGGGUUCAAAUCCGCCUGCCGACCUCUCGGGGUGUUUGAGAGGUGAUGAAAUCGGAGGUGGCCCCCCAUCUUGUGGACGGUGUAGGACGUGAUAAAAUCAACUUGCGAGCUGACCAGGAACUAAGUUGACGCGCCGUUGAUCCGCUAGAUUUGGUUGGAUGCCGGUGGUGAGUUGCCAAACUUAAAGAGUACAUUCUGAAGUCGGAUGGGGUGAAUGGAUUAGGGUGCCCCUCUAGCAGGGGAGAGCAGGGAACUGCUUCCAAGGGAAGGACGCCACUGGUGAAGCUUAACCACCCUGUAACAACAUCAACAAUACAAACCACACAAAAGAACACACGCACACGCACGUUGCACAUCUCCCCUCUCUUCCUCUCCGCCUACGUUCCCUUCCCCCAUAAAAACCCCUGACCCCCGCGCGUACAUCCACUGUGACAGUACGACACGAUAAUUGACCCCCUCCGAAGCUCCGACCAAACGCCGCACCGUGAUAGCAUGUCCGUGCGUCCCCCGCCAGCACCAGCACAUCCCCGCCUCGCAGCAGCAGGGCGGAUGGGGCCACGUGCUUGGUGCGGCCCCCCAUGAGAAAGAUGGCGGGGCAGCCGAGACUCACACUGACGAUUGGCUGUGCCAUGUCGCGUUCCACAUCGUCCAGGUGACCCCCUAACACGUCACCUUGAAGGGGGGAAGGAGAGAAAGGGGGGAGGAGGGGAGGAGGAAUUAGUAAUCCGAAAAAUGCAAAACAAUCAAUUCCACAGGUGAUGGUGAUGGUAAUGGCGAUGAUGGUGGUGGUAGUGGUGGUGAUGGCGGUGGUGAUGGUGAUGAUGAUGGCAGCAAUGCUAAUAAUUGUCAAGGGAGGUUUUCGUCAAGUUGUGGAGUCACGAGGAGGGUUACACAAGCAAAUGCAAAAACACACACAAGAGGUUUGCAAACAAAUACCCAAGACACGGUUUUACCGCACCUUGCUGAUAGUAGUUGACGAUGGCAGCGUCAGGUCUGUAGCCUCCACAGGCCGCUGUGCGCCACAGAUGAAAACACACACACAAACAUACAGACAUACACGGUAUCGACGAGUCCCAGAUCCAACGCAGACCCAUGGGUCAGUUUACAGCGGGGUGAGCAAGUGGGCCAAGACGGGAGACCCCGGGAGUGGGGGAAGGAUUUGGCGGAUGGGUGAAGGAAUAAGGGGUGGGAGGGAAAACACAUGAUGAUUGGUGAGAACAAAAGUAGUUAUCGAAGCGUCCGAGGGGAAAAAGGGGAGGACGAGUAAAGCUGAAAGGGGAGGGGGAACGGAAGGGGAGGGGGAACGUCGUGUGGGAGAGGGCAACGUGCAGCGGGGUCACCAAGAAGGGGCCAACCAACAGCUGGUCGCACCCCACCCCACCCCACCAGGACGGUAGGGUAGGGUAGGGUAGGGCGGCGUACGGGAAGGAGCUUCUAGAUGCGGACUGCACGUGCUGUGGCUCCUGCUGCUCCUAGCUCGGGAACAAGGAGACUGAUGAGGACCGCAGCGGAUCUGUCUGUCUGUCUGUCUAUGUGUCUGCAACCUGUGCGUCUGUCUGUCUGUCUGUCAAGUGGUCAGGCAGCAGCCUGAAUACACCAAUCAGUUCAUGAACCAGCGGACCACGCAGCUAUUUGCGGUAACGGUCUAACCGACUAACGGCCCAACCGACUAACAAACUAAUUAACGUAUAUGGCAAACCCAGAUUCGUGUAUGUCGCUUAUUCCUCCCAAUUGAAGGCCCCUCGGCUCAAAACCCAAACAACCGCAGCCACCCAAUCCACCGUUAUGCCGGACUGCAGUCCUCCACAGUCACAAACACACCACAUUUAACGUCUGAAACACUGUCGACCCGCUUUACUAAACUAUACCCUCCACCUCCCCACACACACACACACACAUACACAACUUCAACUCUAAUAAACUAUAACAUUUUUAUAUACUAUAUUUUCGUCUUUCUUGGAGCUUUACUUACCCCGCACGGAAGCUGUGCCUCCUGUGUUUUUUUCCUCAAUUACCCAUUCCCGCAUCGUACGCCAUUGCCGUACACCGGCAUCCGUACCCCUUUUAAACCGGGUUGCCUUACUCAUCAUCAUGAUCCCAAGACACACAAGAACCCCACAGCUCUCCCCAGACCCUCAAAACCUGGCGCACACGCGCACACACGCACACGCGCACCGACUCGACCCCGACCCACCUCACCUGCGGCCGGCAACACCCUCAGCCCAGCGCCCUCAAGUCCGUCCACGACCGCUGCCAACUGUUUGGCUAGAGCCUCCAGGGAGGGCGGCAGCCUCCUGCGGCCCAGCGAAGGCAGGCACACGACAGGACGAAACCAUGAUGCCGGAGAUCUCCAUACGACUGUACCCUCCCCCUCAUACCCACACGCGCUCCAAGUGCUCAGCCACAAAAGGCGCAAGGGGGCGACGAAACGCACAGGAAAAACACACACGCACAAGCAUACGCACAUCGGACUAAAACUCGCCGCAUGCCGCCGUUACACUCGCCCAAUCCCGUACUGGUUGCCACGAGCCGCCCGUACAUUACCUGUACACGCUUUCAAAGUCGUACUGCCGUUGCGUCCAGUCGAAUUGCGGCCCCAGCGUUGCCCAACGCAGCUUAUGUAGCAGCGUCGAGGCGGGUGGUCCUGGGCCAGCCGGACUCCAACAUUCCUCAUAUGACGGCGACGCCGAUGCCUCCGCCCCCCUCGCGUCGCAACAGUCGCGUCCGCCGCCACUGCUGCUCCUGUGGCUGCGUCCGCCGCCGCCGUCGCUUGAGCCUCGACGACUGCUAUCACUGCUGCUACAGCCGAAACCGCCCUCGUCGUCAUCGUCCACAAUGUGGGAACUGCUACAGCUCUGUUCGCAGCAGCUUCCUUCCGGCACGGUGGCAGAUGAUGCUGGUAAUGGUGGCGCUGCUACUGCGCCUAGCCCGCCGUCGGUGCAUUCCUUCACCUCCCCCCCUGUUGCUACUGCUACUGCUGCUGCUGCGCAUCCACCAGAAUCCUUUCGUUGGCUUUGCAGAGGGCCCCCCGCUGUGGCUGCGAGAAGAAAUUGAACGACGUUUUACGAUGAUGUAAAAAGUCCGGGGGUGGGGAAAGAGAGAGGAGGCAAAGUGGAAAAGGGGGAAGCGGGAGGAUGGGGCAAUUUGAAGCCGGAACCAUGUUGACUAAAGGUCAGGCUGUUCCCCCAUCCCUCACCCCCACCAUUACCAUUAUAAUCCAUUAUCAUCAUCAUCCAUUAUCAUCAUCAUCCAUUAUCAUCAUCAUCAUCAUCAUCACCACCACCACCACCACCAUUAAUCAUUACCACCAAAGCCAGGUCCGAGCUGCGAGGUGGUUCAUGUGGUCGAGAUCGCAACCUGCCUGCUGCUGUCAGACUGGCCGAUGGCGCCAUGUCCGGCCCCAGAAAGCACCCGCAUCACAGGCAACACCCAUCGCUCCCAGACCUUCCCCCAAACUCCGCCCAAAACACUACCGCUGAUUUUCUUCGCCAUUACACCUUCCUCACCACCAUGUGGGUCAUCCUUGCGGCCCCAGUUGAGUCUUAGGCCCUGGCGCGCAGCCCGCCAUAGACCCGUCAGCGGGCCGUACUGCAGGUCAUGGUUGGUGUGUGCGGGGGGCUCCGGAUAGUCCAUGAGGGCUGCUGCGAUGAGUUCGAACUGCUGGGGCGCUGGUAGGGCUCCGGGCAUGUAGACCAGACCUAUCUCUCAGGUGGAAAGGAGAGGGGAGCUGUAGUCAGGCCAAAGAAGGAUGGAUGGAAGGAAGAAGGUUAUAUUCUGAGGGGAUGUUUGAGAUGGUUAUAUCUGGGUUGUUUGGGAUGUUUGGCAUAGCUUUCCUCUUCGUUCGCGGGUCGGAGGACGGACCUGGGUGGCGCUCAAAGGUGUAGACUGGGCCAUCGUAAUUAGGCACGUGGUGGCGGAAGACUUCUGGGGGAAGAGGAGCUUUUGGACCUAAGUGAAGGUCCAGAACAUCACUCGUGUCGAUUGGACGUAUCACGAGCUUGCCCGGCUUCGGCUUCCCAUGCCUGCGCGUGGUCGUCGGUGUUAUGACGAGGCCUGUGGCGUGGCAGGGGACCGCCCUACGCAUAUUCUGACUCACUUCAUCUUGACUUUCCUUUCCCUAAAGAGCUGAUACUUCUUCUCAGCUUCCCUGUAAGCUGUUCGCAAUAGAGCACCGUCGUCCUCGCCGUCAGCUCCACCGUAUUGCAUUUUUGCAAAGAAAUUUGAUGUUUCACAGGUUAUAAGAAUGCCUGCCGGUCACUGUCACCGCGUUUUAGUCGCGAAGCUCGUUCGUGUUAUCACGUUAUAUAGCCAUGAGUUUAUGGGUAAUAGCUAUAUGCGUAAAAUUACGGCGUCAUCUGAUGACCUGGCCCCAAAAGAACCAUACGAAAAUGGAUAGAGAAACAGGUAGGUGUUGGCGGGAAUGAGGAUGCGUGAAAAAACAGCAUACGGCCCAUCCGACAGGGUAGAGCACCGCAAUCCAGGUAUGAGUAAUCGGUAUUCGGUGAUGGGGGGCAGGAGAGGAGGCUUAUGUGGUGGUGUACGAAUAAGCCAUGCAGUAAUGUGACAGGGGCCGUCGAAAAGCCUUCGCCCUGAUGUGCAAAUUCGAGCAGAACCGCAUCUGGAUGCCACAGAUCUUAUGCUACGGAGUUUUUAUGUCCAGGUUAGUCAUCUGCUGUCGUAGUGGGCGGAGAUUCGGGGCCCGAAUGCCAACAGGCAGGGAGGUCUUAAGGACCAGCUGCUGUUGACAAACGGGUCAGGCAACGCUGCUGGAACCACAGGGGAGGUACGUAGUGGGCCAACAUGAGACAUUGCUGCGUUGUUGAGCAGAGAGGGGGAAAGUGGGUUCGUAGCACAAAGCGGACAGCAGGCAUAUUCGAAAGCGCCAUGGCAGACCCAAUUGAAAGGUUCCUGUUCAUGUUGCCUAAUAUGCGGAGGGGGCUGAGGCGAGUGUCCCGUGGUGCAUGUGCACACUUUUCUCUGGUCGCAGCUUUACGGAUACAUUAGCGGGAUGUAGGGGGACACGUGUGUUUUAUGGCCUGUACGGCAGGUACAACAACUGUAACAUCUCUUGUUGAACUAAUGUGAGCUGCAAAGUGGAAAGGCCGGCUAUACGAGUGUGGCGAUGUUGGGGGGCACGACGCGCAGUGUGGCUAUCGUUACAUAUCUUCGGUCAUAGGCUGGGGAUUGGAACGCCUGCUAAUUCUUUUCCCUUCACCCCCCGGCGGUCGGAACUUGGCCCAAUAGUGGCUGACUGAUGCGACUCCGCCGGUCGAAAAGGUGGAGAAACUUGAAAGGAUGGCUCGGCAGCCUUCCUAGCUACGCGCUGUUUUCUCUUGGCCAAGUAGGCGGUACGUCUGUUUGCUCUCGCAGAUGCGAGAUUUCAGGGAAAAUUUAGGCACAGAAAUUUAGCUGAAAGGACCCAUAGUUGCGGAAAAAAAAAACAUGGAAGCUUCCUGAAUUUCCUGGAAGUCUUUUCUAGGUUCCCUCGACUCAACUUCUGCUCGUUUCGUCACUUUUGCUCCCCCUGCUCGGCCUGCCUUGUUUCGUAAAGUGCACUUCGCAUACAGCUUGGCAGGCUCUGUCCCCCGGUUUGUUCAUGAGAGUAAGAGUACGCCACACAGCAAGGAAGCGAUGAGUCCUCUUACACCGAAAUGCACGGCAGGAUCACGCAGCGACUGAGACCGCGCGUCACAAUGGCGAAGGCCACCUGCUCCCACGUCACUCCCACGUAACGGCUACAACAGCAUAUUCCGUUGGCACUAGGUCGCAGGCCCACGCCCGGGGUGAAGUCCAUUCCCCCUUACCUGGCUGACUGGCUCUGACAAAUCAGCCGCACUAACGAACAACCGAGCUUUGUUCCUCUCCCCCUGCUCUCUGCAUUGGCAGGAGUAUAUCCUCCUACGUGACAUUAAUGAUCAAUAUGGGGCACGAUAACCCGCAUGCAUACGUACAUACAUACAUACAAAUACAUACAUACGCAUGCUCCGACAGAUGAUGGACGGUGCCAUCUCGUCGCCUGCCAGCUCUCCCCCUGCCCUAUAUCUUGUCCUGUGACACUCGUUUCGACUUUAUGUAGGUCACUUGCGGGUUGGUGUAAUAAUAAAUGCCUUCUAUUUGUUCACUCCGGAUAGGCGCUCUUCUGUUCAUGCAGCCACCGCAACGUGGCCGUCCGCUAGUGAAUGGUAAUACUCCUAGCACUUAGCCUGCCUGGCGUACAGCCGUAACGACGGCCAAGCACAGCUGCGGCCAUUUGACUCCCCCCACCAACUCCCCCAGCUCGCAGCCUCCUGCCCAUGCGACAGCCUCCGAUGGGGAUCCACCCGCAACCCCGCCAACCAGCCAGCCAGGCACUCCCUUUACCUGCCCUGCCCUGUAAGGCCUCCUGCCCCGCGCCUACAAACAACCUCUCCCGGCCGUAAGGUGUUCCCAAUUUCGUCUUUGAUUUCCCACCCAGCCUCCUCCCCAGCCGCGACCUGGCAGCCGUUAACCAGGAACCCGUGAGGUUGGAUGAUAAUCGACCAAUCGAGUCACAGGAAUGUCUGUCUGGCUGUCUGUCUAUCUAUCUAUCUAUCUAUCCAAUAAUCUGGCAAAGAGGGGUGUGCUGUUAGCGGCACGACCACAGCCGCAGCAGCCGCGGCUGCUGCAGCCUCGAGUGGUCUGGAAACGGCUUUGUAAUUCGUCCCGCCGUCCAGCAGGGCUAAAGACAUGGCCGCACCCACACUACUCCUUACCCCUCAGCACUGCCAGCCCGGAACAGCCUAAAGCUAAACCAGCCCCAACUACUUAAAACAACGCGCGUACAACGAACUACUCUUGGGGACCAAAAUACUUGUUCGUCCACGUGCCGUACAGGCCGUGCGGUAGCGGGCUCGGCAGUGCCAGCCGCGCUACGGGCCCCGCCAUCAUCGCCCACGUGUCAAACACCAGCAGCUCGCUGCGCCGGGUGUUGGAGUCGAACCCGUAGACCAGCAGCCUGCAAGCACGCGCGGCAACCAAAGAUACCGGCAAUAAUAGGUUGAAAAUCAGAGCCAGCCCUACCAGUACAAAGAACGUGGAAAGUUCGGCGCCAAGCCCGUCACAACAUCCUGAGGUCAUUCAAAAUUUUGGUUGCACGGAUUCAAAUCCAGCUGCGGCAAGAUGAAGAGAUUACCGGCUCGCGCGCGCCCGGGAGCAUUUUGGCGGUGCAGCGGCGUCGGCGUCGGCAGCAGCCGCCACCACAGCGCCUACGGUGCUUAUGUGUGUCAACCCAUGCGGGUUCUCCGUCGUGUCGGUCCCAGGAUCCCUCCGCCAGCCUGCCUGCUUCCUCUUCCUCUUCCUCCCACGCACACAGCAACCCUCCCGCUUUUCCCAGCCCAGCUCGACCAGCGAGAACACCUCCUCACCCUCCAUGCUAUCCAACCUCCCAUAACACAUACGCACAAAUGGUCGGCACAUACCUACAUACCUACAGCUCAGCUCAUUACAUAUGCAUACAUACAUACAUACAUACAUGCAUACAUGCAUACAUACAUACAUACACGCACACCGGCCCAAGUUACCCGGUACUCCCUCCUAGUCUGCAAAGAGCCAAGCGCACACACACGACGUGUCGCAUCUCCACACCACACCACACCACACCACACCACACCACACCACACCACACCACACCACACCACACCACACCACACCACACGAGACCCACAUCUGUCAAGGAAUACCCACCGAAAGUGGAUUGGGGCCACAUCCGCAUUACGCCCCCCCACCCUUCCCCCCCUUCCCCACCAACACCCGGGGACCCAUCCCUCACCAGCCAUCAUCCUCGCUGCGUUGUCGGCCGCCCGCUCCCGCUCCCGCUGGCGCUGCUGCUGCUGCUGUUGGCGCUGCUGCUACUGAGGCCCCCAGGCCGCCACCGCCACCGCCACCAGCCGCAGCGCCGUCCCGCGGCACGAAGCAGGGCUCCAGGCAGAUGUACCCCGGGCCCCCCGACCAGCGCUGCAGCUGCGGAGUCUCCAAAUCCGCCUUCACCAAACCCGAGGUGCCGUCCUCGAAUACCACACUGGAUCGGGCGGGGUGGGGUGAGGUGAGGUGGGGUGAGCACCGGGAGGUGUAAGGGGUAAUGAGGAAAGGGGUCUAGUGGUGCAGCGGUCGCUGGGGGGACGGUGAGGUAGGUGGUCCUGGUGUUGGGUCUGUAGGUAUGUCAUGCGCUCUGUCAUGGGAUGUCGUUCCCAGCUGGGUGACGGGUUGCAUGACUGCACACAGCGGACACGGAGGAAUGCACGGUGCGCUGUGCCGUACCGUACGGUGUCCUUAUCAGUCCAUCCACCUCCUCCCCCCCCCACACACACACCUCCCUAGUCGCACCGUACCUGCACCCGUACACGUAGCGGUAUCUCCUGCCUGUGUAGGCGGUGUUGAAGGUGGGCAGUUCCAAAUGACGGCCCGGGCCCGCAGUGGGGUCCAGGGGGUCCAGGGGGUCGCCGGGGACGGCACGACGGGUGAUGGUGCCGGAGGGCAGGUCAAUCACCAGCCUCUGAAGCCUGGGGCGGGCCCACCGCGGGGGGGGGGGGCGGAAAGGAAAAGUGUGAUUUGGGGGGGAGGGAGGGAAGACGGACUUAGGGGUUCGUAGCGGGGAGAGAAUGAGGGAGUGAAGUGCUGUAAGUAAUCGUGGUGGUGGUGGUGGUGGUGGUGGUGGGGUGUCAAAGGCAGUGGUGAAGGAACACCCGACACGAAAUGCACAUACAUAUACACACAUACAUACACACAUACAUACACGAGCUCGCACAUCCCCUCCCCGACACUGACCUGGGCCGGCACCCCGAGUCAGGAUCCGGCGACCUGACCGCCUGCUCCGCCAGCGGCUGUGCACCCACCGCAGGCAGGCUGUCGUACGCCACGCUGUCAAGAACCAGCCGACCAGGGUACGACUCGUCCUCGAAGGCGUUCACGUGGUGCAGUACACACACAGCGGGGCGCAGGUGCAGCUGCACGGGUCGCUCGCCGCGCCUGGGGGGAUUGUGUGUGUGUGAUGGGGGGGAGGGGGGGAGGGGGGGAGGGGGGGGCUAUAUGUCGGCGCAACCCCGUCGCGAAGUGGUGGUUUGCACUCGUGUAUGUUUGAAUGCAUGAACACCUUGACGGGAUGUGGGUGGCCGGUGUGCGCGCGCGCGCGUGUGUGUGCCAGGGUUACGCGUGCACGUGUGUGUGUGUGUGUGUGAAUCCUUAAAAGGUAACAUUAACAUGCAAAUGCGCGCUAUCCUGGGCGGGAAUAUCGCCCGCCUGCGUGACAGUCAGCACUCAGGAGGAGUCAUACACACCAGUCAGGCACUUCAGGCGUGUGCAUGCGCGUGUGCGUGUGCAUGCGCGUGUAUGUGUUUGAAAUGAACUGAGCCGCGACCCUAAGUAGGCAGGUGCCGGCAGGUGCAUGCGUGUGUUAAUUUGAUGAUGAUGAUGAUGAUGACGAUGGGGUGUUUCAAAGGACCCUUUCAUCCCUCCUCCUCCUCGUCCUCCUCCUCCGACUUCUUCUCCUCCUCUGCACUUCACUGUCAAGUUGACCCAGGGGGGGUUGGAGUUCCUUGCCGCGGUGGGCGGCGGUGGGUGGUGGGUGGAGGGGAGGGCGGAGGAGAAAGAGGCAGCACGCACCAGACUAACGACAAACCCGGUGCACCCGGUGGUGAAUCAGAGGCCAUCCGAGUACCCGAGGGCUCAUAGCGCAGCGGCGGGGGGGUGGGGUGGGGUGGGUGGGGUGGAACUGCCCCGUCAAUGGCAUGGCAUGAAUGUUGGGCUGUAUGAAAGGACAGUGGCGGGGAAUUAAACCAUAUGACCUGGCCUUGGAAGGAGCCUGGGCCGCCCUGGAGAGGGAACCCCCCCUCGAGCCGACUAGGAGCCCUGAGUGCCGCACUGCGUGACAGUUGUUCCGCAGUGGGUGGGUGUACGAGGGACGCCAAGUCGGUGACCCCCUGGAGCACCUGUCCGCCUCUGAGCCCGGUCUGGGUACGACAUGCAGUACUGCCGGCUCCCCCUCCCGCCACUUCAGACAGCUGACGGGACCACAAUCUCCCAGCAGGUACGGCAACACCUGGCAAUGCAAUGCAAGGUAAGGUAAGGCAGGGCAGAUUUAAUACCUCCACCAACACCACCACCACUGCACCACCAGCAGGUUAUAAAAAAGGCAGUACCAACAACACCAACACCGACACCAACAACACCAGCAGCAGUACCAACACAGUCAGAUCUCGAAUCACGAAUGGCAACUGGUAACCCCGGACAGUAGACGCACCCCCUGCAGGGGGGCCACCUACCGCCACCUACCGCCACACAAACACGGUCAUACCACUCUCCCGAGCCGUCCCGAGUAGCCCCCUGCUACAGCACCGCUACCCCCCCCCCACCCCCGAACCUCCAACCCCGAGCCCCGUAAAGCCCCCCUAUACCCAUCCAGCCCUCCGCGUACCUCCGGGUGAACCGGCGGCUGCAGCAGCAGGUAGUAGUUGGGGGUGACGGCGACAUCAAGUACCGUCGCCGCAGCGAAGCCCUUCAUCCGGUACCGCAGACUCCGCCGCCGCCGCGGCGCCCGGUGAGAGCCCCGUAGCUGCCACAGCAGCUGCUGGUGCUGCCGCAGCUGCUGCGGCAACGUCGUGACAGAAUCCGGAACCAAAUCUCGGUCCGGAUCCAGGCCCGGAUCUAGAUCGUCGUCGGGUUCCACCUCCCAAAAUGCGAACUCCGUGUCGAACCGGUCUUGCUGCCGCCGUGCCAGCCAGCGCGCCGCCGUCCCCAGUAGCGCCAACGUGUCUGUACCCCCCUCUUCCUCCCUGACCUCUUGCCCUCCUCCUCCUCCUCCUCCUCUUCCUUGCCUCUUCCCACCGGCGCGUCGUUCUGUAUGCGCUACAUAUUCACCGCCCUUCAGCUUCGCUGUCGCAGCCGCUGCCUGCGGCAGCGGCGCUGCCGCUGCCACCCCCGCAAGCAGCGUCUGAUGUGACCAAAACACACGCCGACCAGUGACACUGCACGUACGCGGCCGGGCGCCGCACGCGUCACCGCCCAGUGCCGAAUGUGCGGGCGGAAGCCGGUCGUUCGAGCCUAGCAGUCGCGUCACACGGCUCAUGGCCCGGUCGGCGGCGGGACUGGCCAGAGACAACGGCACGCCAGGUGACAGAGCACCCCCCAGGCGGUCCUGUGACCCACGGGUCACGAGGGUGACUGGAUCCAGGGCGUACGGCAGGCCGCCCUGCGUGGUGUACGAGCCGUACAGCCAGCCACGCAGGCACGGGCAGGAGGUGCCGCACAUCCCGUAAGUAAGUAAGAUCAGGUGGGGGGGCGGGGGGGGGGGUAAGGCGACCCACUGACGGGAAAGGGGGUUUUCGUGGGCAUCUACAGCGGGUGACUAAUUACUGGGUGGUGCAGGGACGGUGUGGUAGGAGACCAGCCGCACACCAAACGAGAUCACGACGCAUGGUGAUCCAGACGGUAGCGGACAUACAUACAGCAGCACAGCACACACACAAUACACCCCUCCUACCUACCUACCUACCGAAACCCCACCCCUAUCCACGCACGAAACCCCCCCUUUUAAGCCCCCCUUUUACCAUCCUUCUCCCCCUCCCCCCGCAAACACACACGCAUGUCCUCACGCGCUCACCGGGUAUAACGCCAGCAGUCUGCCCCCCUGCAGCACCACUCCCGCAUUGGCGGCGUUACGCAGAGCUACAUUGCCCGCAUUCCCCAGCAGACCGCCGCGGCCCGGGGAGGCCAGGGCGCCGCGGAACAACAGCUGCCCCGCCUGGACCUCAGCCUGGCGCCUGGAGGGAGGGAAAGAGGGAAGGGGGAGGAGGGAGGGAAGGGGACGGAAGAUUCAGGGCAGGGCGGAGACAAAGGGUUGUGCGGAAGCGGGGAGGGUGGUGUGAUGUGUGGAAUGGGGGAAUGGACCGGGUUCGGGUGGCGUGUGUGUGUGUAUGUGUGUAGGUAACAGGUUUCUGUGCGGGCGUGGUGAGAGACUCUGAUGUACCCUCAUGGUACAUGAUACACGUAGUACACACACGCCGCGGGUGCUGCGUCAUGCAUUCACUCUCCGCUGCCCCCUUUUCCCCCGGGCCCCCUCCAGCGGAGGGGCUCCGCGCCCGGUUGUGCCGCCGCUAGAACGAGAACACUCACUCAGCUGUGCGCACGAAUGCGGAUCUGAAGAACGCCCUUCCAUCCCCCGGCAGCGCCACGGAGGCUACCAGCCCGUCCCCGUCGUAGGGGUGACCGGCGCUGUCCUGGCCCCGGGUGAAGCAGCCGGGGCCGUUGCGGAAGAAGGUCCCCGUGAGACCCGCUGGCAGCUGGCCGUCAGUGACCUGGGCGGGGUUGUCGGGAGGGGGGGAGAGGGGAGGGGAGGGCGGUUGGGAGGGGGAGAGAGAGGGCAAGGUGGGGUGCUGUUCUGCCAGCCACAAGUAGCCCAUCAGCCAGCCAACCAGGCAUCGGUCCAUUGCCGGCACGCGUGUGUUUGUGUGCGUGUGUUUUGGGGGGGGGUCCCCAUCCGCCUCCCCAGAUCGGGUCCCCCUGGCCCGCAAAAAUGCUGGUAGGCCCGCAUGGCGCCCCGCCGUCCCCCAUUUGACCGCACCACACUCCCCACCUGCCGGUUGAUCUGACGGAACGAUUGGUCUGACUUCCCCCGCCACCCCUUGCUCUCCCCGCUGCACCGCGCCAGCGGAUGUUUUACAUGUCUCAACCCCCCCUCCCCUCUCCGCCCCUCUUUUGCCACCUGCAGCCAGGCACCCUCGGGCUCCUCUUGUGCAUUGAAAUCGUAGCCUUUGGCCCAGGCGUCCUGGGUGCCAAACAGCAGGCAGGUAAGAGGCGGGGUUGGGGGCCAGAUGCGGAUUGGGGCAAAUGGGCGCCAGGCAAGGCUACGCGGCGAAAUAUAUACAGCCCAUUUAACUCUUGAGCAUCCCCUUCUUCCCUUCGGCCUCCCUCGGGAGUUGCUCCUUUGACUGUUGAACAUGACUCCCCCGACCCACGUAAUUCUAGUGAGUUAUUCAUUAUGGACAGGUUGCUGCCUGGGACUGUCGGAUAGGGAUCCACGGCUAGUAUUUCGGGCGCAGCACUGUGCGAUGAGCAAAGGCUGCGAGCGGGCUCACCAGGAAAGGGCGAUAUUUGGCGCUUACGCGGGUGUUCUGGCUACUGUUUUCUGCAGAAGCGACUGCAGCUGCGACUGCAGCCGCGGUAACUGCAGCUGGCGCAGGCGCGCCCGCGGCUCGCUGAAAGGUCGCUCUCGGAGGAUGGAUGCCGACGGCUAGUGGCCGAACACAGUUUCCUUGAGAGUCGCUUUCUGAAAAGGAUGAGUGAUCAAGAUUUCCAGUAGUUGGGCUGGUAGCGACAGGACUAUCGCUGGUAGCAGAGUUGGAAGCGGCAUGGAGAUUGACGAUGUUGCGCAGAGGAGGCCGCGAUAGAAGCGUUUUAGGCGCAAGCUUCCUAACUGUUGCAUUCCCUCUGUGCUUAUGGCCCUUCGGAGCCCUGCACCUGUGGGAGGGGAGUAACAUGCAAGGGAUGUCGUGGGGCGCGCAGUUUGAAAGUGCGCAGUUGAUCCAAAGCUCCGUCGAAGCCGAUGCUGUUAGUGAGGGAAUGCUCUAACCUGUAAGAUGAUAAUCUCAUGAUGGAAUUCAUAUAAGGAAACGUCGCAUGCGGACGAAAUUGAUUGCUCUCUGGAACUCCUAAUCCGGCCGAUCAAAGUUUAUGCGUGCAAGACAUUGCAAGACCUAAUACCUGAAGGGUACUUUGUCCUAACUCCUAAGCUUCCAACAUUAAGCUUUGGCCUGACCCGUCCAACGGUUAGGUCGGUUAGCGACAACGGUAUGACGAAAGCGCGCCAAUAGAUGGCAGUAGCAAUACGGAUGGCUGUUGUGCGAUGCUGCACCCAAAAUUCCCGAAUAAAAUAAUAAAAUAAAAUAAAACGCCGAUUGCCAUAAUCACUGUGCCAUUGCCAUACCCGAUAUACCGGUAACACCCUGCCUAGGGUCACGGCUGAGGGGAAGUUACAUCUCAGGUCUGGUCUGGAUGCACAGCUGCAAUUUUGCGAUGUAUGAUUUUGAGAUCGAUUCAUGAGUAUCCCCCCGACAUUGUUGGGAGCGUGAGAUUAUGGCUAGUUGCUGAGAUGUAGAGUUGAGGUCAAAGUCGAUGGACCGAGAUUCGCACGCUGGAUUGGUGGCGCCUUCUGUCUCUACGGAUGUUCGGGUGACAUUAUGAGGAGGGAUUCUAGGAGGCAGGAUCAACCGCCUUGGAAUUGCAGUUCGUAUGGCAGUAGUGGUAAAACAGUGUGGUAAUUGUGAAUGGUGCUGUGUGGUGUGUUCAAUCCGAGGUAUGACAAUCCAAAUAUAUAUUAAAAAACAAAUGGCCCAGAAGCCUCCCACUCUGUCACAACAACAGCAUCAACAACAACAACAACGACGACGAUAACAACAACAUCGCAUGUGAAAGCAGAAGCCAGAAGGAAGAAGGAAGAAGCCAGGAAGGAAGAUGCCAGAAUACAUGCAUAUUUUCGCAUAAGUCGCGCUAUGCUACCCCAAAUGCUAUUACCGAAACCCCCCGGCCCCGCGAAUAAGACAACAACAUCAGCAGAGCCUGUCUGAGACUGCUUACUGACCGUCUGAGACCCAACAUGCACCACAUACCGUAGUGACAGGAAAUGUUCGUGUUUUUUAUUUUGUGACGGCAUUACGAAAUUAUGUCACAUAUAAAUUACAAGCUGUUCCAGGCGAUGGUCGUUACGAAUAUAUGUGUGCUCCGAAGCCAAAUCGUACAAUGCCUUCAACACAGUAAUUACCCGUCGAAGAGACAAUACCUGCAUGCUUUUCACGUGGUUCGCGUGCCUUGUCACUGGAAUCUGGUGUUUUCUGGUGAGCAGAAUAACCGUGCAUGCAUUGGCCAGCUUUUGCGUCAAUCGGCGUUCUGACAUUGCAGGCACCGUUGCUUCGGUUGCGUUGGCCUCUUACGAAUUCAAAAGUUUCGCCAAUAUGUUCUGGUGUAAUUUUGAGGGUGUCUCGAACAAUAAAAAGACGAGCAUUUCCUGUCACAUGCACCACAUACGGCUAGUUGCAGCUUGACGAUAGCGUUGCGAGACGAACUACACAAAAAAUGUAGAUUAAAUAUAAUUUUUUCAAAAAGUUCGUAUAAUAUUACCGGUACUAAUGGGGAAUGAUCCGCCUGAGGCUCUUAGUAAGGCUAGCAUACAAGGUUAAAUAGGCCACUCUCCAAUCCAGUCAGUACACAGUCAAUCGUUUCGACAAAAAUACGAGUGUUCAUUUUUAUUGAGUCUUGCUAGGUCUCAAAUAAUUCAUACUUUUUGGGCAAGGCCUCGGACGCGAAGUCCCCGGUGUUCACUGCUGUCAGUCAGUCAGUCAGCCAGUCUGUCAGAGGCUCACAUAUCUUGCUCCGCAAAAAAUAGCGUUCAAAAGCUACACCAAUUCUUCUGCGAUUGUCCAAUGGAGACAAUUCAGAUAAGUCGUUCAAAUAAGUCAGAGCGCGAAGAUAUAGCUUUCCAUGGCUUCAACUUUGACUUCCCCUCACGCCGCAGCCCUUGCCUCUUGACGUCGUUGCAUAUCCCUUACAUCAUAGACUCGUAAGCAAACGGCAUGAUCCUGUAUGGGUUGGUUCCUUCAUGCUCGGCAACUUUAGAUGCAUGGCAACGCUUGGAUCGACCCAUGGCAACGCUCCUGGCGUCUCGCUCGUGCCUGUUUGAUUGUUGUCCUUCUUGUUCUCUUCUUCAUUCAUUCAAUUCAAGUUGAACAUAAUAACAACAUUUCGAGGGCUCCGACAAGCCCUGGUAACUUCACUACAUCAAAACGCCUUUGCGACACACCGUCGGCUUUGCCGCUGCAUUCCGACUUCAAAGUGUGCAAUUGGAACGAUUCUCGAAUGCGUUCUGGCUGGGAGCGGACAACAAUUGGUCCAUGAAGCACGGGCACUUUGGCGCGCCUUGGAUGCCAGCCAGCAGACCGAAGGGCCGGUGUCGAACAUGGAUGCAACGGUGGUACCACCUACGCAUCGGGCAGUCCCGACUCAUGGAUUUGGUGCAGCAGCGGCAACACACGUUGCCCCAAUGACACUCCUGCGUUGUGUGUAUGUCAUUCUACGGAUUGUCGCAUCACGAGAAGGCUAACUGUUCAGUCAAUACUGAUUAUGCUAUGGCGGCUACGCGCUUGCGACGAUCCAGGCAGGUCUAGGCCGCCAUAGCAAGUCAGCCGACCUUCAUUGUUUGAGAAUCUCAGGCAGCUGGCCGACCUCUCACACCUAUCCACAACAACAAGUGUGUACUCCAAACGAGACGGCGUUCUUGUGCUUGCAGUCCUAUGCCGUACGGACUGUCCUGCGAAUUAAAUGGGGCUCAAGUGCUUUUCGGCUUUGGAAAGCCGCCCCCCUAGUCGUAUAUAGUAGCCCUACUAUGGGCGUUGCAUGGGGGAACAGCCGCUGCUGGCGAAUUUAAGCUUAUUCCAAUACACAGCUGAUAGCUAAUAUCGUCUAGAUGCGAUUGAAUUUAGAUAACGUAAACAGGAUUUAACUGUACGGCCUAGCAACCUCUAAACCGAAAGCCUUUUUAGGCCCCCCCCUGCCCCGCUGCAGGCGUUGUAGCAGUGUUAAACGUUAUAACACUGGACGACACCUAUUCGGCCACGAACCCCCGCAGGGGAUGAGGAUGCAGAUAUGACCGUUGAGGGCAAGUUGCCACAUACCGACCCAAUAAGAUAGCACCAGCGACAUGGCCAAUUAGGGUGGUACAGUCGUUCGAGUCGAAUCGCACGAGCACGUUUACCCAUGGCAGCGCGGGGCCCUGCAGGCGCAUACCAAUAUAUCAUUUGCAGUGGCGGCCCGAUGACGCCAUCAGGCCCAUCCAACCACCACGAGAGCAGCGGCCAAGCUGUGGCUGCAAAACAAGAAAUUGCGCCGACGCCUGCCAUCAGCGCAAGCGGCAAGCACCGUCUAGUUGUAGCAGGCCGAACGGAAAAUCCUUGCGAACGGCGAGAAUGAUUUUUAUUAAGAAACAAACGGCGAAUAUUUUUUAUAAAAGAAACGGCGAAGUGUGGGUGCGCUAGUGCUUUUGAGCUCAGUUGAAACGUGUUGAAACGCAAACCUGCACAGAGGCGGCAGGCUGCGGGGUUAAAAAAACAGUUUUCGCUUACAGGUCGCCUUCAUUUCCGAAUCCAAACAAACCCCAAAGGACAAAAAAUACUUCCGUCUAACAGAGCAGAGCAGAGUUUCAUUUUUCGUUAAAUCAAACAACAUGUUGCACGAUGAUGUCUGUUUCACCACUUUUCUGCCACGUCCUCCCGAAAUGGCAACAAAUUAAAAAUUGCUCUCCAUACCACCUUUCUGAGCAAAAACAUCAAAGUUGCUCGCUCGCCGCGGCUACUCAGCCUUACGCGCAAACACUGUCCCUUUCGGAACCAGCGCUCGUCAAGAUGCACACGUAUCUCCUGCUCCUAUGCGGGCAGGCAGACCGCGUGCUCUGCGGCCGCCCUCAUUCAUGCGCCAACGGCCCCAUCUCUGGCUGAUAAGAAAAACCCUCAGUUUUCUCCUUUCCAAACCACCGCAAACCAAACAACAAACUAAGCACAAACCAGCAAGACAAGAAAAGCGAAGGCCAUCAUACGCACCGAUCCGCGCCCGAGUGCACCAGCCCAAGACUCCGGUGCGCCAUCAGUAAGUAUAGAGCGUUCAUACUCAAAAAGUCCUAACCCAAAAAAAACAACCGCACCUCUCACAUCAAUCUUAAGACUGCUUAAAAUUCGUGUGUCGCCGUCCAGCGCCUGCAUCCCCGGUGCAAAAGAGCAUAUCCCGGAGGCGCACGAAUCAUCUCCAUCGCAUGCAUUAUCCCGCAAAAACCGGCGGGCCCUGGUGCUAAGAGCAUGUCCCGACUUGCUUAACACGUACAGUGAACAUAACACGGACAUACAUACAUACAUGCAUAGAAACAUACAUACAAACAUUGAGCAGGGACUGCCCCGGGAAAGGGGGCCGCUGGCGAAGUUAACCACCCUGUAACAACAUACAUACAUACAUACAUACAUACAUACAUACAUACAUACACAACAAGGCUCUGCUUUGUACGAAUGAAAGUGCUUUUUAUUCCCGAUAGACAAAACCUUUUCACUUAGCAUCGAGGAGAAUGUUUAGGGACAGCGCAUUGAGGGACAGAAACAGGCUGACGGAUAAAAACAGAUGCACAGGCUGACGGACAAUCAUGCAGAAACGCAGAAAGGAAGACCUGGCGACAAUUGCAUGUAUUUAAAAUGUCUGUCGAUCGUAACCUAUCCGGCCAGCUAUCCACCAGGCCAUGCACGUGCACUUGGCUCAUGCAACCGCACGCACUUACAGCCGCCCACCAAGGUCCAAAGUCAUUUUCCCACCACCCCACCUGCAAAUAGUCAGAAAACGCCAAAAAAGAAUUUCAUCAUCCUCAUCGGUGUUGUUGUUCUCAUCCUUGUUUUUAUUGCAUGCUCACGACUGAUGUACAUGCCGUACGAACCAACUUUUGGAAGACGGUUAUUUCGCAUCAAAAAAAGUUACAUCAUGCCGCCCUGGUAACUGCGAUGAAAAUAACGAAAGCCGCCUCCAAAGCUGCCAAAAAGAUUUUGAUAACGUGUACCGUACACAAGAUUUCUGCCAUAUCGUCGCCUGUCUGACCAACAUACUUACUGUACAUCAGUAGGUCAGGCACUACUGAUCGCGGACCCGCAGGGUGAAGAUAUAACCCUCCCCUGUCCCACACAUCAUACAUAUACUAUGUCCUCAAUUUCUCAAAAAACAAACGGUGUGUUGUUUCCACCAGCGGAAAUAGUUUAGCGGAUACCUUUAAGCCGUUGGGCAAACCCAACCAACAGCCGCGUCGACAAACCAACAGAGGGAGAAGGAUAGAAUACAGCCUUAGUACGUACCAUAGGGGACUCCGUCCCCUUUAGGGGAAGAAGGGGACGUACCAUAUCGCGUACCGCACAGAACGCCGACUCUCACCACCACACAGACCUCCCCCCCAUGAGGGUGCUGCAGCAGCAGGGCACACAGACCAGGGGCCGUGUGUCAUAGCUGCACGAGAGGAAAGCCCCACCUUUACCUUAGAGCUCUUCUUGCACCAUUCGCCACUGGCUGGCUAUACACAGCUCCCCGAUAUCCUCCCCAUCGCCGCAUAUGUCGUCACCAUGGACCACCUCUCCACUGCCACCACGGGCCACCACCACGGCCCAUACAAGAACCACCCACCACCCCAAACAGGUCGAAACCACCCACCAACCUUCCCCACCGUCGAAACUCCCUUCCCUCCAUCCCUCCCUUUCCCUCUUUCCCUCAACAAGCUCCAGUUCCCUGUUUGUCCUUAGGGUUUCGAAAUACUUUCCUCUCCUUCCUUCUCCUACCCCAUUUGCACAACACAAAAUGGGAGAUACGGCCACACGAAAACCCACACACAGGAACGGCAAUAUGAUCGAGACUUCCAACAUACGACAACACGGUACGAGCGUACGACACGGUCCUUUCCCACGAGCUUCAUUUUAUUUAACUUGGCGCAAACACACACUCGCAAAAAUACUCACGGAGCAAAAAAACCCGAUUGCCGCCACCGUCGACAGCUGCCAUCACCGCGUACAAUGCCGUACGUUUGUAGUACAACAUCGAAAUACGUGCAGUCUGUACGGACAGCCAGGGGGAAAGUUUGAUGCAAAAAUGCACACGAUGAUGCCUGACACCGAGCAUAAAACUGCCGUACCGCCACCAACCAGCCCAAUUAUUCGUCUAUUUUCUCAGCCGCUCGAGCCCCAUUAAGUACGACAUGCGUACGACAUGUAGCAACUAGGGAAUUAGGACUAUUGCUUAGUCAGUGGAGUUCGCGUGGCACAUCUGACCUGAAGAGAUGCUUUCGAGCAAGCGAAUGGUGGGGCCGCGGUAGACGACACCCCUUCCGCUCCCCCUUCCCCCUCCCCUUCCUCUCCCCCUUCCCAUAGUCAACAUAACCCCCCCAACAGAAGAACACAUACACACGUUCCCCCUCACACACACACGGAUUAACAUCCUGCCCACUCUUCCUUAAGCCGUACAAAAUGCACAAAUGCACGUACGUACAGAAUUACAUUGCGGGAUGAUGACCGUAUUAACAGUCCGUACAUCGCGUGGCCGUUACGAAGCGAAUGCAUGCAAACACGCAUACAUACAUACAUACGUUGGGUCCGUUAUUCAGUCCCACCGCACAGUCAUCUUCCUCCUGCUGCCACCUCCAGUGAUGUACGACAACAUGAGCUCUGUGUGUGUGUUUGUGUGUCUGCGCGCGUGUCUGUCUGUCUGUCUGUGCAUGUGUACAGCAGUCGAACGAUGUGUUACGCAGAGUCCGACGUGCAUACAUACACACAUACACAUCGCCACACGCAGCCACAUAACAGAAAAUUAGAUGUGCGGAUAGAUACAUGCUCGGAUAUUCCGAAAUAGAUGAUGCCGUAUGCUACUAGGACUCGUAACUAAAACACGUUACUGCAGCCACCAAAUGCCCCACCUAUCAGCCGACGGCAUUCUAAAACUGCGAAACACCUCAUCCUCAAACCGCAACGGAGGUGCAUCAGCUCAUAGGAAGCAAGUACGAUAUGUCGUGCAGCUGAUAGUUGGUUAGUUAAUUAGUUCGUAAAUUUUGAUGCUCAAUUAGUAAAUAGCGAAUGAAGUAAUUACGUAGGCAGGUAGUUGUGGAUGGAUUUCAUUUGCUAGUUAGUUAGAUAUGCCGUUGAGCAGUUAUGAGGGUGGUUAGGUGAGAGGGGCCUCAUGUUCACUCCCACCCCCACUCCCACACGAGUGGGC